CGGCAUAUAACACAUGUCGAUUCUCGUUAAUCUCGACGAACGUACGUGGAGCGCUAAUAAAGUGGGAUUUCAGCAGCAGGCAGGACAGUUCCUCCACAUGACAUGGAGCAAACUUGUACUGUACUACGUAGUAUAUUUGCAAGGAAGGAACUCAUUGACUGUCGCUUUAACAAAACCUGGAAUAAAACUGGACUACUACCUGCGCCGUUCCAGAGAAAACAAAGGUGCUUUCUCCGGCCGGCCGCCGGCGGUUGGUCACGAAGAAUUCUCCACGCACACGGGGAGCUUAACUGGAAUCAUUCGCGGGUUUCACUGUAUAUAUACCGAGCGAGAGCGCGCCUCUCUGCCUUAUCAGCUCCAGAGCAAGUCAUCAUUUGCCAUUUGCAAGGCAGGCCGCGUAGAUAUUAGCCAGCCAUUUCUCCAACACGAGCUCCACUUCUUCCUUGGCAUCUGCUUCCCCGAGCAGAGCACUUGCAGAAGCAAAGCAGCGUCGUCCUACAGUUCCAUCAUUCAUGGUUUCUCCUUCUUCUAAUCGUACCAGCCGUAACAAGAGGGGCGCGUGGGCGUUCCUCGCCGUGCUGCUGCUGCUGCUGGUCCUGCUCCGCUGCUCGCCGUGCCAAGCGCGCAAGCUGCCGGUGGCAGAUCAGGGCCAGGGCGGCAAGGUGAUGCACUUCGAGGGCGGCCUGGUGCUCAAACUGUCGCCGAGCCCCCAUGGCGGCAACGACGAUGGCGGCGAGGUGGCGGCGGCGGCGCCGAGGGGGUUCUCGAGGGCCGCGCGGUCCAUGCGGUCCGUGCCCAGCCCCGGCGUCGGGCAUUAGGCAGGUCGGUGGUUCCAUGGUUUUUUUCCGCCGGAGAAGUUUUGCAUCUUUAAUGCAGGGAUCGGAGGAGCUCUGCUUGUGCGUCGUCGUCGCUUUGUUCCUCGGCUUGAGUAUAUUGCGUGAGUGAAUGAACGGUCCUUGAUUUGGGAGGGCCGGGUGUGCUUGUGUGUGAGUGUGAACCGCCUGAAUAUGGUGUGAGAAGUUGCAUGCGUGAUGCAUCCUGAAUUUUAAUUUUAACGAGGUUGAUUGAUUGAAGAAAAUUUCAGUGUCGAUGAUGUCGCGGUUCCCCUGUCACUCACGUCGGCUGCAUGAGCCAAGUGUCCCGUGGCAUUCCGUUGCACACUCUACUUUUUUUUUAAAGCGUAUAUUAAUAUCACAGCGAUACCAAUUACGCUGAGCCUCUGCACCAACAAAAUGUCACAAACGACAUUCAGGAUGCACACAUCCUGAAAGAAAAAAGGAAGAAGAAAAGGAAAAAAAAGGCCCCGCACGGUAAUCAACUCCUCGCAGCAGCAACCCGACAAAACUACCGCCAAAGACGACACCCGGAUUACAAAAAGGUUCUCCAAAGGCCACGCCUCCAAGGAGGGAAACAGUGCACAAGCGCCAUCGUCGCCCGAAUGAAGAUUUUAGGUUUUCACUCUGAAGAAAGUAUGAGCCCUUAAAACAAUUCCUUCAACAAGGCCAUUGCCAGACACAACCAAUGAAGGUCAGGCCUUAGGUUUUCACCCUGAAAGUCAACACUCGGCACUUGAGGAGCGCCACCAAACUUGAAUUCCUUCAAUGUUGUCGCCCCCACUUGCCAAGGCUGCUACUGCAAAUCAUCAAACACCAGGCACACAGUUACCAAAUCCAAAUUGGAUCACCGGCCCUCGUGAAGCAAAAUCUUCAGCACCUCGGAGGUCUCUGCCAACACUGGUCCUCCAAUCUCAGCUACCUUGACCUUCUCCACCGCAGUAUAGACCAUGGAAAUCGAGAUGCCGACAUGUCCCAUAGUUUCGACAACCAGCGGAGCUUCGCGCCGCACCGUCAUGAAGCCAUGCUGGCGGAUAUGUGUGCGCAGGACCGGAUUCCAUCCUGUCCAGAUAUCCAGGAGCUUCAUAAGCCAAACCGAGAAGAUCUCUGGCAGAAGAUCCGGAACACAUCUGACGGCCAGAUCGAAGAGGAGCAAACACGUUGAACGUUGCCAUGAUGCGAGAAGAAUGCUAGGACCACCACCAUGAAGACUCGCAAGCCCCCACACCGCGAGUGACGACCCAGCAUGAAUGGCAGAAGAGGAGACGGCAGCCCAGCUAGCAACUGCAUGUCCUCGCGGGCGUGGCCAAGACCACAACAUGCUUACCCCGCAGCACAAGCCUUGACUGGAUCCCCAUGGCCAAGAUCGGAUCCAUAGCCUAGAUCGAGACCCGGCGAUCCAGCUCGCACACCGAAGACAGCCGCACCUUCCCUUGACGCCACUCCGCCUGGAUCCUCAGGCACCGGCCAAGACGGCCGCGCCGCGCCCAUGCCCUGAAACAACGCCCCACCCCCUCCCGUGUGACGCUGCCAAGGAAACACCUCCCCUGCCCACCGUCUUCGGUGGAAUGGGCGCCGCCACCGCCGCCGGCGUCGGCAGCAGCGACGGCAGGGGACGCAUAUUGUAGGAGACCCUAGAGAGAUCGGUGGGGAUGGCCUCCGGAGCCGCCCGGGAGGGGAGCGACUCGACCUGUUUCUGAACAGUACGCCGUUGCACACUCUACUGCUUUGUCGUCUUCCCAAUGAUGUUUUUUUUCUUGUUGUUGUUUGCGAAUUUCUCCAUGACGUUUUCGACCAGUACACGUGCUCGAUCAAUCUCGCCAUCUCGGCAUGACUACAGUGAGCAUCACUCACAAUUUGCAAAUUGACUCCAUCGCGUUGUACGGGUGUUACUUUAGAAGAAAAAAAAGACUCUUCCUUUUUUUUCGCCGGAAGAGAAGAAUUGUCUUGUUCGGAGACCGGAGUAGCCGUGAAGACAAAAUGACGCACACAUGCAAGGACCAAUAAUGAUAGACCUACAAAAAUGGUGCACACAUUAGCUUCUUUGUAAAAAGGAAAUUAAAUUAAAUAAUCUUUUGUAGAUGUAGGAUUACUCUGCAAGGACUGCUGCAGGCCAGUCUCGCCUGAGGUUAAUCACAAAAGGAGUGACAACUUUCCUCAUGUUUGGCAGGACAUUUUGAGGACAGGAAGUUUUGGUCUAUAGGUGUAUAAUACACCCUAUAUGGAAAAUUAUAUUUAGUAAUUAAACAUUCAACAAAUUCUGAAAAUAUUUUUGAAAUAAAUUUGGUGUUCCAUUGUACUGGUAGAAAAAAUUCACAAAAAGUAAAAAUCUGGUUAACCUCUUUCCAAAAAGACAAAAAAUUCGGUUAAAAUAGUGUGAAUAGUGACCUAUAGUACCAAAGAAUUUUUUUUUCCUGAAGUCAACGUUGGGUUUCUAUCUUGAAAUUUAUAUACUAGUGCAAAAGAAAGUCAAGUUUAUUGUAAAAAAUUCAAACUUUUUUGAAUUUUUUAAUUAUCAAUUUUCUUUCCAUAUGAGGUACACCUAAGAACCAAAGGGUAUUUCCUGACAUUUUGAGAAGUAUACUACAUACACACUCACACAUGCAUGCGACCAAAAGGAGGAGUAUUUUCUUUCAAAAAGAAAGGAGGAGUAUUAAGUAGUCCAUCCGUUUCUAAGUAUAAAUCUUUUUGGAGAUUUCAAUAUGAACUACAUACGGAGGGAGUAUCACAUAAUAUGUGUUUGUUUCAAAUAAAUGACAUUAUAUGCUUACUGAUAUAUGCUACCAUUCCAUCACUAAAAUAUUUACUUAGAAACUAAGCAAUGAUGGUUGCAAAAAAAGAAAUCAAUGUCUGCUAUUUUUUAGAAAAAAAUUACUAUUCAUGGCAGGAGCAUUUGAGCUCAGGAUUAGAAUGUCACAUUUUGACUGACAUCCUUGUCGAUCCGCCAGACUGUCCAGUCUGGCCCAGCCGAACAUGUCCGACUGCAAUCAUACUCCUCCCUACGCCAUAUCUGCCUCGCACUUUCAUGCAUUGCUUAGACGCCCUAUGUAUGGAUGAUCUUGCACGAACACACCGUCCUCAGAGCAGUAGAUUACAUAUUCUCUUCAUAUGAUAGAGUUGGCACUUGGCAGACCGACAGUGCUCCUGACUUUUGCUUGGAUUUUUUUUCUAACCUGCUGCCAAAUGUAGCUCUCUCGAAACGUUUGGCGCACAUACUAAUCACUUAGAGGCUUGGAGCCGAUUGAAAAAGCAAUACAAACAGGUCAGUCAGGUCAGCUGGUUGACCCUUGAUUUUGUAUACGCAUUAUUACUCCUAAUCCAAUCCGUAAGCCGAUCUGUUGUAAAUUACUUUUCUAAAUGAGAAGCGGCCGCUGACUUUCAUUUCGUGAGGGAAAAAACAGGACUCCACUACAAAUCAGAUGUUAGAUUUUUGACCAUGGUAGAUCGAACAUUUUUCAUGACAAAUUAUGUUUUCUAAGAAUGGCAAGUUUAGUUGGCAAGCAUGACAAAUCUGUCUUAUUUUAUUAUUUAUGUCAGAAAAUUAUCAUGCCUGCAAACUGAAUUUGCCAUGAUCGCGCCAAUACAAACUGCCAUGAAAAACAUCAGAUUUGCCAUGCUCUAAAAUUCUAACGUCGGAUUUUUAAUGUUUCCGGAAAAAACAACAUGCGGAACUAGAAUUAACUUGGCCGGCAAUCCGUCAGGAAGAAUUCUCCAUGGCUGCUCAAAAGAAAAGAAAAAUAAUUCUCUGCGGGCAAAUGGGAAUCGUCCACGUAAGCGGUGGCGCUGUAUAUAUAGAGCGGGAGACGCCUACCUCUGCCCUACCACCAGCUCGAGCAUUUGCCAAAGCAGGUUGCCAGCCAAGCACCAGCUCCAAUUCUUCUUCCCUGAGUUCAUCCCGUUCUCCCAGAGCACCCACAGCCACAGGAGCAGAUAGUCGAGUAGCAUGGCUUCGCCGACGCGCAGCAGCAGUAGCACCAGGAGGCUCGCGCGGGCGUUGUUCCUCUUCCUCGCCGUGCUGCUGCUGCUGGUGCUGCUCCGAUGCUCGCCGUGCGAAGGGCGCAACCUGCCGACGGCGGGGGAGGAACGGGGCGGCAGGGCCGCCGUGAUCCACCUCCAAGGCGGCGAGGCAGCGGCGGCGAGGGGGUUCUCGAGGGCCGCGAGGUCCAUGGGGUCCGUGCCGAGCCCCGGCGCCGGGCACUAGCCAAGUAGCCAUGGUUCUUCUACCCCGGAGAAGUUCCCAUUUUGCAGCGCCGCGUUUUUGUCUGCUCCUCGACCUGAUGGGCUUCUCGCUUUCAUAUGCGGCGUACGAAAUGAUGGUGACGGUUUGUCAUUGUGUAUCUCAUUGUGUAUCUGAGACUCUGAGUACGUACAGCCGGCUGAAAAUAAUGUAAACAGCUGGAACCUUAAUCGAUGCGCUUGGAAAAGAACUCCAGUGUCGUAUUAUCUCUCCUGUCACGUCAGUGUCAGCUGCAUGCAGCUGCAUUGCACACCGCUACUUGUCGUCUCAUCACCAGGGCCUCUGGGGCGUGCGUGCAUGGCUGUGGUGGUCUCAAGUCUCAGCAACAAACUCAUCUGAUGAUUUCUGUUAAGAGCACGUUCAUAUUGGGUUUCCUAGUACGAAAUUUUGGUUCAACAACAAACUGGUCUAGUAAUAAUUUCUUUUAAGAUUACUUUCAUACUGGGUUUCAAAAGAAAUUAUGUCCCAAACUGCAAUGCGUCGGUACAAUGCCAGACAGAGAUUCUUUUGCCAGAAUCUGGGGAUUCUCCCAGAAUCCGACCCCUACCCAGCUUCUCCCAGGAUCUUUGAGCCCCAUUUGUUUUGCAAUCCUAUCUAGUUAGGGUCUGAUUAUAUAGGAUUGUAAAACAAAUGAGACUCAAAGAUUCUGGGAGAAGCCGGAUAUGGGUCGGAUUGUGGGAGAAUCCUGACAAAAGAACUGGGCUUCAGAACACUUCCACCUAUACAUAGAUGCUUCACAUAUCACAGGAUGAGAAGCUACCUCCAGAAUAAAGUGGGUACCCGCAAGUGUACACCUUUAUACUACAUGAACAUCCUACAAUAUCUACGUACAUCGUAUACUACCGUACUUACUAUCUAUAUGUACAGACGGGCAACGGGCGGCGUCAGAACUCGAGGCCUCCGUUGAGUUGAACAGAUAAAGAUGGAGAUCCCACGUUGUCGAGGGGUUUCUCCAUGGUGACUACUACCCCAGAACUGCCGACUUCACCGUUCAACUUGGACCGCCCAAUCUGCCAUACCACACCAUAAUUGCAAGGGCAUCAGUUCGGGCUUUGCAGUAAACGCGCUUCGAUAAGGAAGAAACGCUGGCGUAAUGAGAACUAAUUGAGGGCUUACAGAAAGAGAUGUGAAAGCCGAAGGAUGUCUCGAGCAUGAGAAGCCGCAUGACACACCGAUUUCUUCCUUCAGUGAAUGGACAAUCUCCGCCCGUAUGCCCGGAUCACUUCCUCCGAGAAUGGGGCAAACACUGGUGCAGGUGGUUCCAUGGAUGUGAGUAUUCAUAGGUUGGGAGAAGAUUGUGCAAACAAGAAAGAACUUGAAAUGCAGGAUAUCAACAUAAGUGCUGGUAGGGAAGAAGCUGAAGUACUGACCAGCUACCAUUGUUUUCUUUUGUUGGCAGAAACAGAAAACGACAAGCAACAUGGACUGCCAUAUGUCAACCCUCCGUUCCAAAAUAGAUGACCCAACUUUGUACAAAGUUAGUACAAAAUUGGGUCAUCUAUUUUGGAACGGAGGGAGUAAUAUGCAAGUACGGAAUACUUAGUGAAGCAUGGAGCAGAUCCGAAUUGUCAUAUUUGAACAGUGUUUCAUCAAUGACGUUUGCUCAUCUGGCAUUAACUACGGUAAACAUCCCACACAAUGGCUGUUGCCAUUUAUAAAUGACCAACCCAGAUAAUCUAUUUACCAGCACUUUUGAUAUCAUAUCAGUAAGGACACCGACCCAACAAAUACUACACAAUGAAUAUUAUGAAUUGUGGCUAACAGCAGUCCAGCUUUUUACCGAGUUAAGACCAACCCUCCUUUUUACUGAGUUGAGAAACCAGUUACGGCUAUGAGCAAGUGUGUACAGUAAACUACCUGACUUGGGUGCUGGGUCUCAUCAUAAGGCCAGACUUUUUCCAUGCCACCGCGUGGGCAACUCCAAAUGACAGAGAAUUGUCAGGCCAUUGAUAAGUAGGGGUAAACCAUGUGCCUUGUGUGCUCUUCAAUGGAAGAAGAAUAGCGAAUAAAAGGACAAGUAAAAGAAUUAGGAACACGCCGCAAGAAGAUAGAGUAAUGUAAAAUUUGAAACAAAUCAUAAAAUAGCAUGUGGAAUGCAUGUUAUUGCUGUUUCAUAAUAGCAUAGUUCUUGACAAUCUGCACAGCUGAAACUGUUUCUUUAAGAAUUUACAAACAUAAGCAAAAUUUGUGCAGAUACACUAGCAUUGACUAACCUUGAAGGAGAAGCCCAGUUUGGUUUCUCCGGGAAAUUUCCCAUUGGCUUGAAGCAAUCCACCAAAUAAUGGGAGAAAUCCACUUGCUGUUAUCCCCUCACCAGCAACGUAUCUCAAUUGCCCAUUUGAAAAUUCAACAUCCAUGAAGGCCUGCAACAAAAAACAACCAAGGGAAGAUGAUAAGAUAGUACUGUAGCAGGUAUUAGAUACACAAACAGUCACGCCAGAAAAAUUGAUCCAUUCCUUUUAGGUUUACAUGUUUCCAACAAAUUAGGAAGUUAGAUGAUUGCACUUAGCAUGGACAAGUUCCGUUGUUUUUUGGUUUCUUUAUAAAACUCACACCAAGUUAAUGGCAAGGCCUGUUGCAACAACAAAAACAAUACUCCCUACAUCCCCAUUGAUGAAACUGUGUUCAAAUAUGGCAAAAACAAAAGUACCUGCAAUCUGAGUUUGUGGCCUUGUAUAAGGGAAUGGAGGGAGUACUAACCUUCAUAGGCACAUGCAUCACAUGAUGGCAAAAUAAAAAGGGCAAGCAAGCUAAACUUUUUUGUGCCGCUAACCCAACUAUCCGGACUGAUGAUUCGCAAACACUGGUCAAUGAAACUGGAAUACAACUGACACUGGGUAGAUACUUAGAAACAACACAUAAAUAUUAACCAAGAGCAGACGGCAAAAGAGCAAGGUAAGGGCAAAGAAUAUAUAUAUAUAUAUAUAUAUAUAUAUAUAUAUAUAUAUACUUACACAGGCUACUGGGUUGAGGCACAUCAUGGACAUCAGCAACCAUUUUUUCUGCUUUGACCAGACAACUGGACAUAAGGAAUGCACUCCAUUCUACAAGAAAUGAAUAAGUUUUUAGUACAUGCAUAUAGUAAAAUAUAGGUCAAUACAUGCACACAAAGAGCUUGAAUGGGCACAAUUCCAGAAGAUGGUGAUAGCUAUAGCAAGUACUUAAUGCAGUAGAAAAUUUAGCAGAAAUAAGUAUGCAAAAUACAUGCUUACAAAUAUGGAGAAUAUUUCUAAUGCAUAAAUUAACAAUGACUCUGCUAGAGUUGAACUCAGCAUCUAAAUCACUUUGGAUACAGAAAUAUGGUCAUGCACUUUAGAACCAACAUUUUCACAUCACAAGAUAAUACAACAGGACUUUAGAAAGCUAGGAGAGGGCAUUACAAUUGCAAGCUUCCACAGAACAGUCCUAAAUCAGACUAGCUAACAGAACAAAAUCACCUAGAAUUGAUACAGAGCAAGACGAGCAUUCCCUAAUCAUAUACUCCCUCCGUCCGGAAAUACUUGUCAACGAAAUGAACAAAAGAGGAUGUAUCUAGACGUAUAUUAGUUCUAGAUACAUCCCUUUUUAUUCAUUUUGAUGACAAGUAUUUUCGGACGGAGGGAGUACAUUACUUGAUGAUUACAUGAACAAUCAACUAGAAGAAAAAACUGGUUUCAGUUUCAACUAGAUGCUAUGCUAUGCAUAAUAUUUGCACUCUUGUAGUAUAUUUCACAUUUAACCAAUAUACACAGCAAUGUAUAUAAAGCUUUAGAGAUUAUCAUUCAUAAGAAAAGGCAAACAAUACACUGUUCUUGUCAAUUAUCUGAAGGAUAAAAUGAAUAAAAACUAAUGAACAUGCGCAGAUUCAUAUAUCAAGAAUAAGAGAAGUACCUUGUGAUCAUAAGCAUACCAAAUGAGGUGUUGCUUUGACAGAUUAAUAGGCAAAAGAAGUGUUGUAGAGUCUCUCACAAAAAGUAAGGGACCCAAUUGAAUAAGGAAACCAGGUGCAUUAUCGUUUCCAUUAGUUGAACCACCCCGUGAUGAUUCUAACCUCCAAAAAUCUCCACGUGCAAGAACAGAACUAUCAACAGUGUGGUGCCUUGUAUUGUACAUUGCCGAGACAUUUACAGUCCCCUGCAUCAUCAUCAUUACAGGUGUUAUGAUGUGUACUUGAGCAUAUUGAAUGUGUUUCAGCAUCGCAGACCCAGUAUAAUUACACUCUAAGCCUGUACAAAAACCCAUCAUAAAUCUGCAGAAAAAAGGAAGGGUAUAACCUUUGGUAUACGAAAAGGAUAUCUCAAUAUCUGAAGUACAUGUACUACUAAAUGACAAACAUAUAGCCACAAUCUGCCUAUCACACAAACAGUAUAUAAAAAAAAAGGGCAGCCCAGUGCAUGUAGCUCCCGCUUGCGCAGGGUCCGGGGAAGGGUCCGACCACUUUGGGUCUAUAGUACGCAGCCUUUCCCUACAUUUCUGUAAGAGGCUUUACCACUGCGCCAAGGCUCCCCUUCACACAAACAGUAUAUCAUAUUGAAAUUUAAGAUGAGUGUUAGCUUUUAGCCCCAGCAGUCAAUCACACAAGCAAAUAAAAGAUACACGCAAUUGGGAUAUUUCGCCAAGUCAUCUCAUGUACAUCCGUUUUUUUUUUCUUUGUUUACUUCUCAGAAUUCUUACACAAGAUUAUAACCUGCAUGUGUAUAUGUACACAACACAGGCUCACCUUGUCCAAGUCGUACAUGUCAACUAACAUGUGGCUAGGUAGGACCAAAGCAGACACUACUAAGUCUUGACUAUUCCAACAAUCUCCCCCUAAUUAAUAGUUAGCGUGGCAGAAUCAAUCAAGCAAACAAAUCACGCAUACACAAGAUAGGCAUAUUUCACCAAAGACACCUCAGGUGCCUCUUUUUUUUCUUGUUUCUUUCGCAAAAGAGUACACAACAUUACAACCUGCAUGUGUAUGUAACUAUGUAUGCACAAUGAAGCUACAAGACACACACACUCGUACACUGACUCGCAUUCCUUACACGUCAAUUAGGACAUAGCCAGGUAGAAUUCAGACAACGUCAGAAUCAGAUUCGACCAACACAACUCCUUACCAGAAAUGACUAGGCAUUGUCGCAUUGAUUAUACCAACAAUGAACACAAACUAUUAAAGCAAUGGACAUAGGCACGGCAUAAUCAGACUUGACAAACAUUAUUCCUAACGGGACAGACUUGAUUAUUUCAAACAUUAUCAAUAUGCUCAAGUACACAUCAUAACACCUGUAAAUAAGAUACUUCAUCCACACAUCAUAACAUCUAAUCCACAGUUCUACACCUAAAUCAUCCACACAUCUAAAAAAGGCUAUUUCUCUAAACUGUCGUAUAAAUAAGAUACUUCAUCUAUCUUUUAAUAAGCAUAAUCUAACUGCAAGGGCUUCUAAUUAGAGUCAGGUAGGUGCGUGCGCAGCAGAAAACAUGAUCAAGCAAGAUGCAAAUCCAACAUUGGUACCUGAGGCUUCAUAAAUUUCCCCAGAGUGCCAAUCUCGAACUCGAACCCGAACCCGUCUUCCUCUUCAUCCGACCCAUCCGCACCCUCGGCCCCGGCCCCGACCGCACUGGCGGCAGCGGCACUCCCAGUGGCCGCCGCCACCGCCGCAGCCACCUCCUCAAGGGAGCCUCCUUCCCCGACACCCUCCAGAGCUACCCCGCCCUCGGCAGCCCUCUCCGCAGCGAGCCCCGCCUCCCCCUCGUCCACAGCCGCCGCGGGCGUCGGCGGCGCGGCGGCCCCCUCCCACUUCCGGCGCCGCGCGCGGAACGGCGCGGGAAUCUGCCGCGACAGCUGCUGCACGGCGCCGCCGACGGAGGCGCCGAGGUCGUUCCCGGCCUGGCCGAGCCGGCCGCCGAUCUCGACGAAGGACGCGACGGCCACGGCCGGGAGGUCGACGCCCCCGCGGAGCUCGAUGUCGAAGGGGAUGAGCUUGAGCGGCGGGGCGGGCCAGGGGAGCUGCGGCGGCUGCACGUGGAGUUGGAGGAGGAGCCCCGAGACGCCCUGCGCGAGGCGGUAGGCCAGGUCCUGCCCGUGCCGCUGCACGCCCAGCAGCGCGGCGUCCAGGGAGAUCUCCAUGGAUGGAUGGUGGACGGGGCACCCGGGCGGAGGCGCGCCCCGGCGUAGCGGAUUAGCUCGAGCCGCGGCGAAAUGUGGUGGAGACGAAGCGGUCAGGCCAGUCUGUGGUGGUGGCCCGGCGGGGGGUCGAUGACGAUGAUGCCGGGCUGACUGCUUGUCCGGGACGGGACUCGGUGACGUGCGCUAUCGUGUGGAUAUCCGUUGCCCGUUGGCCUCGCGUGACAGAAGAGCCGCGUACUGCGGUGAAGUACAUCAUCCGUUUGAACGAAUGCACGCAUCACGAGGAUAUGCUGUUUUCAGGGCCGAUUGAUCAUCAAGGGUGCGUUCGUUUGCAAAGUAUUUUUGCAGUUUUUCGACGCCCCGUACCACCGAAAACACCUCUUCCGUUUAAAAAAUCUUUCGCGCUACGCAUUUACUCUGUCUUGAAGGGUCACCCAUCAACCCGCAUUCAUGGCGGUACCGUGGCCGAGUAGCCUACUCUGAUGCCUCACCAAUUCGCCUGCCCAAGACUAUUUAAAAUCGAUCGGCCGCAGACGCUAGCCCUAUCAUCCUCACCUAUCUGUCGCAUAGCACCAUACCUUCACCACCGUCCGUCGCAAUGGGCAAGAAGUCUGACACCCGCAGCAGGUGGACGGCGCGCGGCUCCGAAACCGGGAUAGCCCCAGAUCCAGUUGGCACCGUCGCCCACGGUCUUCGGCUCCUCUCGUCCACAACUUCGUCCAACGUCAAGUCGGAACCGAUCUUGUGAUGACGCGAAGGUGCAGAAGCGGCCCCUGCUCGCCACCGUGGCUGCUAUGGACGAUGAGUUCAAGCGGCAAACGAAGAUCGCGCUCUAGUGGUUGUUAAUCGACCGCAGUCUAACAAUGCCAUCCCCUCCACACAACCGCGACUUCCAAAUUAGAUGCCGUGUAAAGGAGGAGCCGACCUCCCCACCAUGUAGCCACGACAUCCAAUUCGAAUACCGCAUGAAAGAGAAGCAGACCUCCCCGCCUCGUUCGCAACCGAUAGAGUCCAUUCGCCAUUGUGGAGGAGGAGGAGUCCCCCCCCCCAACCGUCCUAGCCACAAUCAUGUGUACAGUACUACCUCCAAGCUAACUGUGUGUCUUCCUCGACACGAACAAAUGCCUCUCCAAGGCGGAGCAUCGAGAGCAAUGCAACACGUAGCACCGGGUGGCAUUCGCGAAGAGCCAAGUCGCGUCGGCCUAGGCCCUCGACCGGUCCAAGACCAUCGCCGAGUCAGGCUCCCGCCAUCAGUGUUGCCUCAACCACCAGCUCCUCCAAGCGGGGCCGAUGAAGCCCAAGUGCACCAAGCGACGAAGGCGGCCAAACGUCUCAAGAGCGAGCGCGCGACAACCGAGCAGGGAUGCCUGGCAAGCAUUCUGCCCCUAGCGCAACCACGACGAGAAAGGUGUCGCAAAUGGCAACUUGAGCAACAGCGCAGACGAUGACAAAGGUGCAAUGGCCUCAAAAGUGACAUGUAUACAAGCUCACGGUCUUGUAUCUAUCCAGUAUCUCACAUAGUUUAGUUUAGAUUAAAUUAAGUUUCAACGGUUAAAUUUCAUCCGUGUGUUUAUAAAUAUAUUGAACUUUGUUCAAUUUUAUUUGUUUUUAUGCUCGCUCCGUUCAAAUAUUUGAACAUUUGGUGUCCAUAGUUGGAUGCCUAGAGCCCCACCUGUGGCAAGUUCAGACGUAUCCACAGAUAUUUGGUGUCGUCUGUUUGGUGAUUCGCAUUGUAGUUGCCUUAAGACAAUACGAAGCAACAAUCUAUGCAACAUGAAAUUCAUUGAAGCGGAGAAACAUCAGGCACAAUCAUUCCAUUACAUGGCAACGUUCGCAGAGCUUCUUAACAUUUAACUUGACGGUGGAGGGAACUUUGUCUGCAACAUAUCUUCCAAUGGCCCAGAGGCCUUUGUGGGCUUGAGCAAUCAUCCGCUUGCCAAUCAGAGGGCUGCACUUGUAACUUUUGUUGACACAAGACCGAUCAGCCUCCUCAAUACCAUUAUCAUAUACCGCGUCCAAAGUGAGACACUCGAGUAAUGUUGCAUUCUCAAGAAUAUGGCAAGUUAGUUCGACCAUGCUCUUUGCUGCACGGAAGCCUAUGAUGGUCACAUCCUUGAUGUUGCCAUGGUGAUGUCCUGGCAUCCGUCUCAACACUGAGUCUUUAGAUAUCAAUUCAUGCUCUACGUUCCUCUGCGAUACCUGUGUGAAGGAGCAACGUGCACCCUAUAGUUACAUGCAGAGAUAGGAUACAGUUGUUGUUGCAAGCUAGAGGGAGAAAAGUGACUUACACCCAAAACAAAAGUCUCCAGGAGAGGACAAGCGUCCAGAAAAUUAACUAGAGAAAAAUAAUCAUAGCCUGGAGAAAAGCCCCCCUGUCCUUCAUGGUCAAAAUCAAUCUCUAAGUUCUUGAGGCAGCGGAAUUUGCCAUGUAAGAUGGGCGUACUGAAGUCCUACAUAUAAUAAUAAGUCUAUGUUAAAUAUAGAAUUGCCUAAAAAAGGUUACACUAUAUUCCAUGGCAUAUAACUACUGCUAUAUGAAUAAUGAUGCUGUCAUUAAUGAUCACUAGCCCCUUAAAAAAAGACAACAACAACAACAGAGCCUUUAGUCCGAAACAAGUUGGGGUAGGCUAGAGCUGAAACCCAUAAGAUCUCGAAACCAGCUCAUGGUUGUUGCACGUGGAUAAAACAACGAAAACAAAAACUUUAGUUUGAGAGGGUGUUUGUUUCCAGGGACUUAUUGAUUUAGGGACUUAAAAAAGUCCCUAUAAGUCCCAUCUAAACCAAACAGGAGGGACUUAUAGGGACUUAAAGUGGGCAUUUGGGACUUAUGAAAUAAGACUCUCAUGGGAAGUUGUGAUACGUUUCGUUGGGUUGUUCCGGCACCAAAAGUAUGACUUCUUCGAUCCCUGGAGUAACUGCAGUUUGAAGCCACAUGUCGAGAUAACUAGAUUUGAGGGAAGAACCACCAUAGUGAAGUUCAAAUUUCUUCACUCCAAUGCCUGGGUGUUUUUUCAUGAUGCGGUCAACUCUCUUGAGCAAAAUCCUUGCAAGUUUAUUGCUUCCAUACACAUUUCCAUCCAGGCCCAGUGUUUCAUUGCUGAAGGUGAGGUCGGGACGGCAUCUCAAGGAGCUUAGUAAUGUGUGAGACACACAGCCAGCUCUGGCAGCGUCUUGCAGUGGCAGCAGUGCCAAUAUAUCAUCCCAGAUGCCCUGCAGACACAAGAAUGGGAGAGAAGUUAGCACUGGAAUUGCAUGGGCUGUGUUACAUAGUUAAAUAGCACAACAGAAUGUGAUUGUGAUAGGUAAAUUAAGCAUUACAUGCACUGUUACAACUUUACAAGGAUGAUAGUACAACGUUUCAGUAUAAGUGGCCUUCCGAGAAGACGUCAAUUAGUAUUCCCUGAUCAGCACUAUUACAAGGAUGGUACAGCCUUUAAGUGAGAUGACAAACCAAUCUAUUCAGAAUGCAGAUAGAUAGCGCAAUGGAAGUAUGAUUAGAAAUGCAGUGGAGCAAUCUCUGGCCUCCAUGUGUUACAGUACAUUUUAUCAAACAUGAUGUCUUUUAUGACUUUUUGGUGGAAACUAGCAGGUGCGCGCGAAACAGGAAUUCGAAAAUCCUACGCUGGAGCGAGAGCUUUGGCUGGCAGCAGCCUAGUACUGUGGCUCUCUUUUUUAACGUGGGCUAGUAUUAUGGUGCAGUUCUUCUCCUGACAGUUAACAAGAUUCCUGUACCAGGUUGCUUUAAUCGGCUCACUUGACAAUGCAUGGCUUGAAUCUCGUUGCAAGAAUCGGAUGGUAUGUCCUUUUUACUCCGCAUAUAAGAGCCCCGGUCCCCUUGUUCUACAGAACUGCUCUCAAGGGGCAAAGCAGAGUCAGGUGCAAAGCAGUAUCCAGGACUUGGUCACAGAGACAGUAUAAGUGUCGAUAUGCGGUCAAUCUCUUGCGAGCAAUCGAUCAGAGGUCGACAAUCUGUUCAGAAGAAGCAACCAAACAGGGAAUGACCUUACCCUCCUCCUUAUAUAAUCUUCAAUACACGGUUCAGGUUCAGUUGGGGGAUUCUGCCAAUAAACUGAACAUCAUAUGCGGAUUUUGCAGAGUAAACACAACUGCCCGUCAUCGACCAGCAGAUGAAGUCAUUGGAAGGUGGCCUUUGCUUAUUAUGGACCUUCUCCUAAAAAAUAAUUAUGGAGGCCUUUCAUCCAAUUCCCAAGAGGGAAAAUAAUUUUGCAGUGCUAACCGAGAGACGCUUUCUCCUCGCAAGAGGGAAAAUAUCGGGUGCGAUGGUGGCUCCCAUGUGUAUCCAUCAGCAGGUCUAGGAGUUUUAUGGCUUUGCUUCUGAGGAAGCUAGAGUUUUACUUAUUUUUCGCACUCAUAGCAGCAUAGUUCGAUCCUAAGAUAUAUUUCCACAACUUGACUGCAGCUAGAUAAGUCGCAACGAUUUGUGAAAGAGAGUAGCCAUGGCCAUUAGAUCAUUUGGUUGGCGUACCUGUGGAAGGUCCGGCACUGGACAUCGCGUUGUUUUGCCACAUUGGGGAUGACAGAUCGAGCGCUUUUUGCCAGACAGAGAAGCAAUCGACAUACCUGGCCAUGAUUGAUAACAUAAGAAAGCAACCAACAAUAGGAAAACAUCGGCUAGUCGCAAAAAAAAAAAAAAGGAAAACAUCGGCUACGAGAUCGGGAAGGAGGGGCAACAUGAUGAUCGAUCCGACUUACGACGGGGUCGGAUUUUCCGGCGGCGGCGAUCCUUCCGCGCGGGCAGGAGCCGGUUGAGCAUCCCCAUGAUGGUACCCUCGAAAUCCUCUGCUCGCCCGCUCUGUAUACUACUCGUAAUUAUUUGACCCAGCAGGCAACGGAGACCACCUCCGCGGCGUCUGAAUCGAGAAGGCUCCAAUUCGAGUUUGAGUUUGAGUUGAAUUGACGCGAGCAGAGGAAACGGCAUCUGCAUCCACGCCGCCUUCUCUGCCUUGUCCUUGAGGCCUGCGUUUACCAGCCCAUCUAAAAUGGCCCAUUAUUACUCAAAAAAGGCCCAUUAGUGACAGGGUUGAUCAGAAUAGUAUAUGCCACAUCCCCUAAAAAAAGAUAGUAUAUGCCACUUCCCCUAAAAAAAGAGAGUAUAUGCCACUGAAAUUCUUGCCGAUUCGAAAAAUCUCACUGCAAUUUUUAUAAAAGCUCUGCGGUGAUAUUUUUCCAAGCUCUAUAGUGAUAUCCAAUGGUUUUUUUUAGAAGCUCUACUGUGCUGAUUUAGAAAAUGAAAAAUGUGGUGACAAUUUUGAAAUAUGCAAGAAUUGCGAUGCCAUUAUUUUAUCUAAUUAACCCUAGUAAAUAAUCCGCGUGUGACAAACUUAUGUCAUAUAUUUUAUUUCUAAAUAGUUGCAAUCCACUGCCUGCCUUUUCUAAUCACACUGCCAUGCUACAUCAGCACCUAUUCUAUUCAUGUCAAUCAUAGGUCACAUAUUUUGCAAUAAUUUACCCAUCUAACCAUGCCACAUUAGGACAUGCAGGCCACUCAUAAGUUAUACUCCUUUCGCCCCGGAUUAGUCGUUUUAAAUUUGUUUAGAUACAGGAUCUAUCUAGACACCUAGACACGUUUUAGUGUUAGGUACAUCUGUAUCUAGACAAAUCUAAGACAACUAAUUUGAGACGAAGGUAAUAUUUUUUUGUCCACUACCAAAUUUUUGUAAGCAUGCAGCUAUGCCACAUCAACAUCUAUGCAUGUCAAUUUACCCAUGCAACUAUGCCACAAUAAUAAGCCAUGCAUGCCACUUACAUUUUUUGAACUGAUUUUCUACUCCUGCUUAUAUGGGAUUAUACACGAUGAGAUUACAAUGUAGGGGUACAUUGAUGUGUUUGACGAGUUGGAUGUUGAUAACCCACAAGUAUAGGGGAUCGUUUGUAGUCUUCUUUGAUAAAUAAGAGUAUCGAACCCAACAAAGAGCUAAAGGAAGAACAAAUAUUCCCUCAAGUUCUAUCGACCACUGAUACAACUCUACGCACACUUGACGUUUGCUUCACCGGAAACAAGUAUGAAACUAUUUUGCAAGAGUAAAACUACGAGUACUUUGCGAGAAUAAAACUGGUAAUUGAUACGUCUCCAACGUAUCUAUAAUUUUUUAUUGUUCCAUGUUGUUAUAUUACCAUUCUUGAAUGUUUUAUAAUCAUUUUAAAGUCAUUUUAUAUCAUUUUUUGGUACUAACCUAUUGACAUAGUGCCAAGUGUCGGUUGUUGUUUGAUGUCUGCUAGAACUACAUCGAUAUUUCCCCAAAGAGGAAGGGACGAUGCAUAUAAAAGUCUCAUGUCAAAACUAGACUAUUGCUUUGAACCAUAUAAAAGUCCAAAUGUCCAUGCUACAAAGAAAAGAAUAUGAAAUGACAUGUUAGGCAGCAUUCCAUAUCAAAAAUUCUGUUUUUAUCAUUUACCUACUCGAGGACGAGCAGGAAUUAAGCUUGGGGAUGUUGAUACGUCUCCAACGUAUCUAUAAUUUUUUAUUGUUCCAUGGUGUUAUAUUACCAUUCUUGGAUGUUUGAUAAUCAUUUUAUAGUCAUUUUAUAUCAUUUUUGUACUAACCUAUUGACAUAGUGCCAAGUGUCAGUUGCUGUUUUCUGCAUGUUUUUUACAUCGCAUGAAAUCAAUACCAAACGGAGUCCAAACGCAGCGAAACUUUUUGUGGAUUUUUUUGGACCAGAAGACAUCCAGUGGGCCGGAGAAGCACCUGGAGGGUGCUCCGAGGGGAGCACAACCCACCAGGGCACCUGGAGGCCCAGGCGUGUCCUGGUGGGUUUGUGCCCACCUCGGGUGCCUCCCGAACCGCCUCUUUGCUCUAUAAAUACCCCAAUAUUUCAGAAACCCUAGGGGAGUCGACAAAAAUCAAUUCCAGCUGCCGCAAGUUCCAGAACCACCAGAUCCAAUCUAGACACCAUCACGGAGGGGUUCAUCAUGUCCGUUGGUGCCUCUACGAUGACCGUGAGUAGUUCUUUGUAGACCUACGGGUCCGUAGUUAGUAGCUAGAUGGCUUCCUCUCUCUCUCUCUUUUGAUUCUCAAUACAAUGGUCUCUUGGAGAUACAUAUGAUGUAACUCUUUUUGCGGUGUGUUUGUUGGGAUGCGAUGAACUUUGAGUUUAUGAUCAGAUCUAUGUUUUUAUCAAUGAAAGUUAUUUGAGUCUUCUUUGAUCUCUUAUAUGCAUGAUUGCUUAUAGCCUCGUACUUCGUCUCUGAUAUUUGGGUUUUGUUUAUCCAACUUGAUCUAUUUAUCUUGCAAUGGGAAGAGGUGCUUUGUAAUGGGUUCGAUCUUACAGUGCUUGAUCCCAAUGACAGAAGGGGAAUCGACAUGUAUGUAUCAUUGCUAUUAAGGAUAACAAGAUGGGGUCUAUUUCUACAUAAAUAGAUCUUGUCUACAUCAUGUCAUCGUUCUUAUUGCAUUACUCCGUUUUUUCAUGAACUUAAUACACUAGAUGCAUGCUGGAUAGCGGUCGAUGUGUGGAGUAAUAGUAGUAGAUGCAGGCAGGAGUCGGUCUACUAAUCUUGGACGUGAUGCCUAUAUAAUGAUCAUUGCCUGGAUAUCAUCAUGAUUAUUUGAAGUUCUAUCAAUUGCCCAACAGUCAUUCGUUUACCCACUGUUUGUUUUUUUUUCUCGAGAGAAGCCACUAGUGAAAUCUACGGCACCCAGGUCUCUUCUUUAUUAUAUUUGCCUUUGCGAUCUAUCUUUAUUUGCUUUUAUUUUCAGAUCUAUUAAACCAAAAAUACAAAUACCUUGUUGCACUUUAUUUUAUUUGGUGUUUGAUCUAUCAAUUUAUUACAACUCUCUCACGUCCUUUUGCCAAUUUUUGGUACCGUUACCGAAAGGGAUUUACAACCCCUUUAAUACGUCGGGUUACGAGUAUUUUUUAUUUGUGUGCAGGUGCUAUUUACGUAGUGUUGCUUGGUUCUCCUACUGUUUCGAUAACCUUGUUCUCAUCACUGAGGGAAAUACCUACCGUCGUUGUGCUGCAUCAUCCCUUCCUCUUUGGGGAAAUACUGACAUAGUUCUAGCAGACAUCAGUAAUAAAAGUGGAUAGCUUUUGUCAAUAAGAAAGUCAUUUGUCCCUAGGCAAUCGAUAACAAGUACAGAUAAUAUUCUUGUAAUUUUAUAUGAGGGAGAGGCAUGAGCUAACAUACUUUAUUACAACUCUCUCACGCCCUUUUGCCAAUUUUUGGUACCGUUACCGAAAGGGAUUUACAACCCCUUUAAUACGUCGGGUUGCGAGUAUUUUUUAUUUAUAUUUUUUAUGCUUGCGGAUACUUAUGAUUGGAACUCUAGCAAGCAUCCGCAACUGCUAAAGAUCAUUAAGGUCGUGAAACCCAACCAUAGCAUUAAGUAUCAAGUCCUCUUUAUCCCAUACGCAACAACCCACCUACUCAGGUUUAAGCUUCUGUCACUCUCGCAACCCACCAUAAGCAAAUCAUGAACGUAUUGCAACACCCUACAGCGGGGAUCCCCCAUGUUUGCGCGAGAUGGAGGGCAUCGUAGGACAACACCAUAAAUAAAAUAUACAAUCAUACCAACCAAGAUCACGAUUAACCCAUAGGACAAAACGGAUCUACUCAAACAUCAUAGGAUAACCAUAGAUCAUUGGGAAAUAAUAUAUGAAGUUGAGCACCAUGUUUAAGUAGGGAUUACAGCGGGGAGAAGGGGUGUUGCACCGCUGCAUAGAGGGGGAGAAAGUUGGUGUUGGCGGUAGCAAGAUUGUUGAUGUAGAUCGCUGUCAUGAUCCUUGCCCCGGCGGUGUUCCGACGCCACCGGGAGAGAGGGGGUGUUGGGGAUAUAACUAUUGGGUAUGACCCACCCAGGAGGGUCCGGGUUAUACCGCUGGUGGUUUGUUAUGGCGAAGCCCAUAAAGAUGUUGAAGAUGGCGGUUCACGAAGCAGGCUUACUGAAGGCCCAAAACCCAAAGGCGACUUAAGGCCCAACAGGUGUAAACCGCCAUAUAUGUAUGACUUGUAUUAUAAGGCAUGUAUAGUUAGUCACCGAGCCGGACACAUUGUGUAUGAGCCAGUUGGGACUCCGUGAGCCGCCGGGCGUCAACCUGUGUAUAUAAAGGGACGACCCGGCGGCGAUUCAGGACAAGGGACAAGAGAACGAAAGCUAGGUCAAGCGUAAUUGCUCCCUAGUAAUCGAAGCAUAAGAAAUACCACCUCAAACUGGAUUAGGCUUUUACCUUCACCGCAAGGGGCCGAACCAGUAUAAACUCCUUGAGUCCUUUGUCCCGUUUAACCCCUUUAAGCUAACCUAGUUGCGAUGGCUCCAUGACUAAGUCCUUCUGCUAGGACAUCUGCCGUGACGAUUCCACGACAGUUGGCACCCACCAUGGGGCCAGCGCACGGUGGUUUCGAGUUCUUACAGGGCAGCUUUGAAGGGAUCAAGGGAUACGCUAUGGGCCGGAUGACCAAGAGUCGUCGCGACAAGCUCUACAUCGACGAUGCAGGCUGGGGCCCCGAGGCCGGCUCAAUCGAGUACGGGUACCGGGUCCCCUUCGGCGGAAUCCACGUCUUCAUCGGCAAGAUCGGCGAACCGGGCCCUGAGCCGGACAUCUGCACCGACAUCAUCGAGACGGCUCAGCGGGCACGACCCGCCCGGGUUCAUCCCAUCGUGAGCGCGCCUUCGUUGGAUUUAUCCAUGGGGCGGAAUUUGAGGAAGGAUCUAUGUCUGGCGGUGAGACGGCCAUCUACUCCGAUGGUGAAUCGUCCACAGGCGAGACUAAUUCAAUGUAUCAGCUACAAGACGGUCGGCUUGGGGGAUGUUUCGAUGGUGACAGUAUUCCGGACCCCUAUGAGCCGCCGAACAGGGUGGCGAUCUUCAUGGCCGGUACACAGUCGGUACUUGGUUCAAUGACUGCCGCGGCUAUAACCUCUGAUUCAACGGAUGCGGCGAUGGCUGGUGCUGGCGGCUCAACACGCCCACCGGCUCAAGUUUUAAUAGAACUGUUGGAGGCUCUGGCGACUUUGAUGGGGAUAGAGGUAACCCCGGACAACCAGGAACAGCAUAAGGUAGAUGUGGCUAAGCUGCAAGAUGAGAUAGCUCAAGCUAAGGAAGAGCUGGCGGCUGAGAACGCUAGGAUGACUGCGGAGCGGGCUGUUUUGGACGCACAGGCACAGCGGAUUCCUUCCGGCUCACAUCGAUCAGAACGCUUCAAACGAGAUCAUGAGGAGGAGGCACCAGAGUCGUUUGCCCCAGUUUAUGAUGCGAGAAACCUCUUCAAUACGCCUGGAGCGGGGACCAGUAACCCGCCGGAGGUAAACCGGGUGAUGGCAACGCCUGGGGCUGGAGCGUCGGCUCAGCCGCGCACGACAGAUCCACCUUGUUUGAAUACUACCCUGCCGCAGUAUGUGCCGACGCCAUCGGAUCAUUAUUCUAACCCAUUGGAUAAUAUGAUCGCUGCGGCGACACGAUUGGCGGCUCUCCAAGUUGAAGGCGAGUCUCCGGCUGCGAUUGAAACACGGAGGGCUAGAGAACUUCUUCAGACAGCAUUGGUCCAACAGGAGGCCUAUUCUUACAGUCGUGAGAGGAUUCACUCAACCCCUCGCCCGAGUCGGAGUUAUAGCAGGCAUAUAGAUUCACCAGCAGUCUCAAGCAGUGACAGGCGCCGUAACCAGCCUCGUGAGCAUGACCCGGUGCGCAAUGGUGCUAAUGCUCAGGCUUUGGUAGAUCAGGGUAGAGCACGUCGGGAGGCUGAGCUGGCGGCUCAGCAAGUGGCUCAUCAACAUUCUCCGGGUUAUCCGACAACUUUGGUGGAAACAGGUGUGACCUCCAGAACCUUGGGUGUACCAUGUUUAGUGCCGGCUCUACGUAACGUGCGUUUGGAUUUCAAGGGCCCUUGUAAGGUGCCUAACUACAUAGCGGAUCAGCCCCCCUGAAGCUUGGGUUGAAAGUUAUGAGAUGGCAAUGGAGCUGUUGGAUGUUGGCGAUGCUGCAUGUGCUAAAUAUUUCACUAUGAUGUUGGAUGGAACAACUCAUACUUGGUUGAAAGGGUUGCCAGCCAACUCCAUUGGAUCAUGGGCCGAGUUAAAAGCCUGGUUUAUCCAGAAUUAAGACACGUGCAAACAGCCUAUGUCAAUUGUGGAUAUGGACUCAUGUGUCCAAGAAGAGGGCGAGUCAACAACCCAUUGGGUGCGCCGGGUCUCAGCCAUCCUGCACUCAUCAGAUCGUAUCAAUGCCGGUUCAGCAGUUCUAAUGUUGGAGAAAAACUGUCGUUUUAUGCCUCUUAAGCAGAAGCUGGUGCGGCUCAAAUGCCACUGCAUUGACAUAGGGGAGCUCAUGGCGGCUCUGGUCAAGUAUGCCGACUCUAAUAGUACCAAGGACCCUGAGUCUGAUGAGGAAAGGCCGGGUAAGGGAAAGAAGAGUAGCAACACCAAGGGGCAGCAUAACCCGGCGAAUCAGGGGGGCAAUGGUAAGCGCAAGGCUGGUAGUAGUUUGGAUUUUGUGGCUAACACCAACACGCAGAAUAAUGGUCAGCGCCGUAAAGGGAAGCCAAAUCCUUGGUUUGGAGGGCAAAAUUUCAACCUUGUGGAGAUGAUGAAUCAGCCCUGCCCAAAGCAUGGUACACGGGAAAAGCCGGCAGCUCACCUCUGGAAGGAUUGCUUCAUCAUGAGGGAGUACAGAAAUUCAAUUUUUUUCAGAAUAAUCAUGGGCCGGACGGCGGCUCAGGACCCGGCUCUCACGGUCCGGGUUACGGUGGUGGAGGUUCUAGUUCCGGUUUUCAGGGCCAAGGCAAUCAGGGUGGUUUUAAUCAACAGUUUGGUCAGGGGAAUCAGCAGCAGUCUUGUUAUUAGAGUAAUCCGAAGCAGCUGAAUAGUGGGCAGUAUCAUGUCUUCACCACGAGUUUGUGUAAGCGAGAUCAGAAACUCCAUAAGAGAGCAGUAAACGCAGUUGAGCCGGCAAUUCCCCGUUACUUGCGAUGGUCUGAACACCCUAUUCUUUGGAGCCGUGAAGAUCACCCGCCCCGUGUUGAUAACCCGGGUCACCUGGCGCUGGUGGUGGCGCCUCAGGUUGGGGGUACAAAUUCACUAAGGUACUCAUGGAUGGAGGUAGCAGCAUCAAUAUCCUAUACUAUGAUACUUUCCAUCGCAUGGGAUUGACCGACAAAAAUCUUAAGCCGUCGAACACUGUUUUUCACGGUGUGGUAGCUGGUAAGUCGGCAUAUCCAGUGGGCAAAAUAUCUUUAAAGGUUGCCUUUGGAGAUGAGUAUGAUUCCAGGUCUGAGACGUUGACCUUCGAAGUGGUUAAAAUCAAGAGCCCCUAUCAUGCUCUGUUUGGGCGGCCGGCUUACGCUAAAUUCAUGGCAAGGCCUUGUUAUGUUUACUUACAGCUUAAAAUGCCGGGUCACAAGGGCACCAUCACAGUGCAUGGAAGUCGCAAGGUAGCCUUGGAGUGUGAAGAAGGUGAUGCUGCUUAUGCUGAAUCUGUCUGUGCAACAGAGGAAUUGAAAUUUUACAAGGAUAAUGUUGACCCGGCAGAUAUGACAUCUUUGAAGAAACCAACCACAGAGCAUGACCCCUUGUUGAAGUUUAAAUUGGCAGAUGACACUAAGCUAGUUGACUUCGUUCCUGGCGACUCAUCCAAGCAGUUCAGCAUUAGUGCUAAUCUGGAUCCGAAAUAGGAAAGCGCGCUCAUCGAGUUCAUCCGUGAGAACCGGGACAUCUUUGCAUGGAAACCUUCAGACAUGCCAGGUGUACCGAGAGAACUCGCUGAGCACACUCUCAAUAUUGAUCCAAAGUUUAAGCCAAUCAAGCAAUUUCUUUGCCGUUUCAAUGAAGAGAGGCGCAAGGCUAUUGGUGAAGAAGUGGCCCGACUCUUGGCGGCUGGGUUUAUCGUUGAAGUCUUUCAUCCUGAGUGGUUGGCUAACCCGGUGCUGGUACUUCAGAAAAAUGGCACCUGGCGCGUGUGUGUGGACUAUACGGAUUUAAACAAGGCUUGUCCGGCUGAUCCCUUCGCUCUCCCCCGUAUUGAUCAAAUUAUUGCUGCUACGGCGGGUUGUGAGCGUUUGAGUUUUUUGGAUGCUUAUUCUGGUUAUCAUCAGAUCAAGAUGGCAUUUAAGGACCAGGAGAAGACAGCCUUCAUCACUCCCUUUGGAGCCUUCCGUUACGUGUCUAUGACUUUUGGCCUCAAGAGUACCCAAGCGACUUACCAGCGGUGUGUGCAAAAUUGCCUUCAUGAUCAGAUUGGGCGCAAUGUUCGUGCUUAUGUGGAUGAUAUUAUGGUGAAAUCCAGAAAGAAGGAGACCCUGAUAGAUGAUUUGAAGGAGACCUUCGACAAUCUCCGGGCACAAGAUGAUGCUUAACCCGGCCAAGUGCGUCUUUGGUGUGCCAGCAGGCAAGCUCUUGGGUUUUCUGGUUUCAGAAUGAUGUAUUGAAGCUAACCCAGAGAAAAUAAAGGCUAUCACCUCUCUGGCUAAACCGGCGUGUAUCAAUGAUGUUCAGCGUUUGGUAGGUCGUAUUGCAGCCUUAAUCCGGUUCAUAAGCCGGUUGGGUGAGAAGGCCAUCCCUCUUUACUAGAUGAUGAAGAAGACAGAUCACUUUGUUUGGAGUGAUGUUGUUGAUCAAGCGUUUGAGGCCUUGAAGAAACAGUUGGCCGAGCCGCCGGUUCUUGCUGCUCCCAUCGAUAAAGAGCCUUUGUUGUUAUAUAUGGCCACCAAUAGCCGAGCUAUCAGCGUAGCCAUUGUGGUGGAAAGGAAGGAAUUAGGCAAGGAGCAUCCGGUUCAGCGGCCGGUUUACUACAUCAGUGAAGUGCUUAUUGAGUCCAAGCAGAGGUAUCCACAUUGGCAGAAGCUUGUAUAUGGGGUGUUCAUGGCUAGCCGAAAACUCAAGCAGUAUUUUCUGGGUCAUCCUAUCACUGUGGUUAGUUCUGCUCCUUUAGGGGAUAUCAUUCAAAACAGAGAAGCCACUGGUCGGACAGCCAAAUGGGCCAUUGAGCUUGGACCUCAUGGUUUGAAGUAUGUGCCUCGCACAGCCAUCAAGUCGCAAGCACUUGUGGAUUUUAUCAAUGAUUGGACAGAGUUGCAGAUGCCUGAGGAGAAGCCGGAUAGCACAUACUGGACUAUUCACUCUGAUGGAUCCAGGCAGUUGGAGGGCUCGGGGGCUAGAGUUGUCUUGACUUCCCCAUGAGGUGAUAAAUUUUCCUAUGUUCUCCGGUUGAUGUUCCCUUGUACUAACAAUGCAGCUAAGUAUGCGGCCUUGCUCCAUGGUCUUCGGAUGGCUAAGGAGAUGAACUUAAGCCGGGUGAGGUAUUUUGGCGACUCAGAUCUAGUAGCUCAACAAGUUUCUGGCACUUGGGAUUCCAAGGAUCCACUCUUGGCGGCUUAUCACCGAGAAGUUGAUGUUAUCGCUGGUCACUUCAAAGGUUAUGAAGUUGAACUUGUUGAUCGCAGGAAAAAUGAGGCGGCUGAUGCUUUGAGCCAGUUAGGGUCCCAGCGUAAGCCGGUGCCACCUAACACUUUCCUGGAUAUUCUGCAUAACCCUUCGGUCAAAUUGCCUAUAGAGGAAGAUCUAGCUAUUCCUGACCCGGAAGCACAGUUGGUAGCAGCUCUUCAUGUUAUUCCUGAUUGGAUGGUUCCAUAUUUGGCUUAUAUGACCCGGGGCGAGUUACCUGAAGAUGAAACUUUGGCCAGGUAGAUAACCCGGCGGUCUAAGUCAAUGACUAUUGUCAAUGGAGAGUUGCGUUAUCGCAGUGUCACAGGGGCAUUUCAACGUUGCAUUUCUCCUGAGGAAGGUUGUGAGAUUCUACGAGAGAUUCAUGAAGGAGAUUAUGGUCAUCAUGCCGGCUCUAAGUCUCUUGUAGCCAAGGCUUUCCGUCAUGGGUUUUAUUGGCUGACGGAUCAUGCUGAUGCAGAAGAUUUGGUCAAUAAAUGUGACGGUUGUCAGAAAUUUUCACGAUGAGCUCAUGUGCCAGCUCAAGAAUUGAGGAUGAUUCCAAUUGCUUGGCCAUUUGCAGUUUGGGGGCUUGAUAUGGUUGGGCCUUUCAAAAGAUCCAAAGAUAAAAAGACCCGCCUUUUGGUGGCGGUUGACAAGUUUACAAAGUGGGUUGAAGCAGAGCCGGUUAGUAAGUGUGACACGGUGAUGGCGGUGCAAUUCAUCAAAAAGGUGAUUUUCCGUUUUGGCUUUCCCCAUAGCAUUAUAACUGAUAAUGGACUAAUCUGUCCAAGGGUGCUAUGAAAGAAUUUUGUCAACGUGAGCAUAUCCGACUUGACGUAUCAUCAGUGGCUCACCCCCAGUCCAAUGGUCAAGCUGAGAGAGACAAUCAAGAGAUUUUGAGAGGCAUCAAGCCCCGGCUUAUGGUUCCUUUACAGAGGACGCCGGGUUGUUGGGUGGAGGAGUUACCCUCAGUGUUAUGGAGUAUCAAUACUACCCCCAACAGAUCUACGGGUUACACGCCUUUCUUCAUGGUUUACGGAGCAGAGGCGGUUCUCCCUAGUGACAUCCGUCAUGAUUCGCCUCGUGUGGCGGCUUAUGUUGAAGCUGGUAAUGAAAGAGCACGUCAGGAUGCACUUGACCUAUUGGAUGAGGAGCGUGACCUUGCAGCGGCUCGUUCGGCGAUUUACCAACAAGAUUUGCGUCGUUAUCACAGCUGCCGGGUUAAAACCAGAACCUUUCAAGAUGGCGACUUGGUGCUCCGGCUUAUCCAGGAUCAGACUGAUAUGCAUAAACUAUCCCCACCUUGGGAAGAGCCUUUUGUGGUCAGCAAAAAUCUGAACAAUGGGUCAUACUACCUUAUCGAUGUUCGAGGCCACAAGGACUCAUGCACGUCAGAGGAGGAGACCCGCUGGCCGUGGAAUAUUGCUCAUCUUCGGCCUUACUAUACUUGAGCCUCCGGCUCUGGUGAUGUACAUAUUUUGACAGUGUAUAUAUUAUGAUGAAUAUAAUAAAGCCGGCACCCCUGAUAAUUCAGGGCCUCUGUCGUUUCGUUUUGAGAAUAAUGAGUCUUUAUUGUCAUAUCAUAUGGUCACUUGGGGGCUUCCUGCUCAUCAAGCAUAGCUAUGACUACCCUCUUGAUCCGGCUUGUACGCCAUGAUUACUAAAUACUUGGGGGCUUCCUGCUCAUUGAGCAUAGCUGUGAUUACCCUAUUCAUCCGGCUUGUACGCCUGGAAUGAAAUAUUACUUGGGGGCUCUUUGUUCAACGGACAAGAGUUUUUUGACCCUUGUAAUAGGCUUGGAAGCCAGGUGUAUUCACCUCAAAACCUGGGUUAUCCUGCCUUUUAAGUCUGCCACUUCGCCCAGAUUGACUGGAAUGACUCGCCGUACUUUUGACAAGUUAAUCUUAUACAGACCCUGAACUUGUCAAAGUUAAAACGAUGAUUGGUCAUGUGAGGCCCGACUUAUAAGGUUGAGUGAAGGUUUAACUCAGUGGUUGUCCAUCCCUUUGAACGCACUUGAUUUGAAGGUUUGGCAGCCUAUGAAAGCCUUGUUUUUGUCUUUUGAUUUAUAUUUGAUUUGAACAUUUUUUGCGGUUCAUCUUUUGUGACAUGUUAAUGCAUGAUGGAAAACCAAUGAGGGCUAUGAUGUCUUAGGAUUCACAUAUGAAUCUAUCUGGAGUUUGUUAACCCGGCCUGGCUUUGGACUAUGAGUCACCAGUGUAUAAUGAUCUAAUACACUUAGAAGCGUUGUGCUCUAAGUUUUGGGAUAUUAAUCCUUGCUGCAUACGGUGUGGUAAGCUGGCAGUAUAUGUCAAUUGAACAAGGCAUUGUGCGCUCAAUCUUUUGGGUGGUAACCCUCACUGAACAGGUAUGAUAAGCCGGCAGUAUGAGCAAAUAUCACAGGUAUGAUAUUUUGUUAUAAGUAUAUAAGGUUAUUGAUACAUCUCAAUGUAUCUAUAAUUUUUUAUUGUUCCAUGCUAUAUUAUAUUCUGUUUUGGAUGUUUAAUGGGCUUUAUUAUACACUUUUAUAUUAUUUUUGGGACUAACCUAUUAACCGGAGGCCCAGCCCAAAUUGUUGUUUUUUGCCUAUUUUAGUGUUUCGCAGAAAAAGAAUAUCAAACGGAGUCCAAACAGAAUGAAACCUUCGGGAACAUGAUUUUCGGAACAAACGUGAUCCAGAGGACUUGGAGUGGACGUCAAGCAACACACGAGGAAGCCACGAGGUAGGGGGGCACGCCUACCCCCCUGGGUGCGCCCUCCACCCUCGUGGGCCCCUUGUGGCUCCACCGACCUACUUCUUCCUCCUAUAUAUACCUACGUACCCCCAAACCAUCGAGGAGCACCACGAAAACCUAAUUCCACCGCCGCAACCUUCUGUACCCGUGAGAUCCCAUCUUGGGGCCUUUCCCGGCGUCCUGCCGGAGGGGGCAUUGAUCACGGAGGGCUUCUACAUCAACACCAUAGCCUCUCUGAUGAUGUGUGAGUAGUUUACCUCAGACCUUCGGGUCCAUAGUUAUUAGCUAGAUGGCUUCUUCUCUCUCUUUGGAUCUCAAUACAAAGUUCUCCUCGAUUCUCUUGGAGAUCUAUUUGAUGUAACUCUUCUUUUGCGGUGUGUUUGUCGAGAUCCGAUGAAUUGUGGGUUUAUGAUCAAGAUUAUCUAUGAAAAAUAUUUGAAUCUCCUCUCAAUUCUUUUAUGUAUGAUUGGUUAUCUUUGCAAGUCUCUUCGAAUUAUCAGUUUGGUUUGGCCUACUAGAUUGAUCUUUCUUGCAAUGGGAGAAGUGCUUAGCUUUGCGUUCAAUCUUGCGGUGUCCUUUCCCAGUGACAGCAGGGGCAGCAAGGCACGUAUUGUAUUGUUGCCAUCGAGGAUAAAAAGAUGGGGUUUAUAUCAUAUUGCAUGAGUUUAUCCCUCUACAUCAUGUCAUCUUGCUUAAAGCGUUACUCUGUUCUUAUGAACUUCAUACUCUAGAUGCAUGCUGGAUAGCGGUCGAUGUGUGGAGUAAUAGUAGUAGAUGCAGAAUCGUUUCGGUCUACUUGUCACAGACGUGAUGCCUAUAUACAUGAUCAUACCUAGAUAUUCUCAUAACUAUGCUCAAUUCUAUCAAUUGCUCGACAGUAAUUCGUUUACCCACCGUAAUACUUAUGCUAUCUUGAGAGAAGCCACUAGUGAAACCUAUGGCCCCCGGGUCUAUUUUCCAUCAUACUAAUCUUCCGUCAACAAGUUAUUUCUAUUACCGUUUAUUUUGCUUUCUUUACUUUUAGUCUUUAUCAUAAAAAUACCAAAAAUAUUAUCUUAUCAUCUCUAUCAGAUCUCACUCUCAUAAGUGACCGUGAAGGGAUUGACAACCCCUUUAUCGCGUUGGUUGCGAGGUUCUUAUUUGUUUGUGUAGGUGCAUGGGACUUGAGCGUGGCCUCCUACUGGAUUGAUAGCUUGGUUCUCAAAACUGAGGGAAAUACUUAUGCUACUUUGCUGCAUCACCCUUUCCUCUUCAAGGGAAAACCAACGCGGUGCUCAAGAAGUAGCAAGAAGGAUUUCUGGCGCCGUUGCCGGGGAGUCUACGCACAAGUCAAGACAUACCAAGUACCCAUCAAAAACUCUUAUCCCUCGCAUUACAUUAUUCGCCAUUUGCCUCUCGUUUUCCUCUCCCCCACUUCACCUUUGCCGUUUUAUUCGCCCUCUUUUCCAUUCGCCUCUUUUUCGCUUGCCUCUUGUUUGCUUGUGUGUUGGAUUGCUUGCUUGUCCCGAUGGAUCUACCUAGAUUUGGUGAUCUUCACCUUAAAAGGUUAGAAGAGAUCGAAAGCAACGUCAGGAGUUUUAUGACUUUACAAUUUGAGCAUAAUAAUUUCUUUAGAAACAAGCUGAAGGAACAAAAAAGCUUUAUGGGAUACAUGAAUAAAGAGCUCGAUGACAUGUCUAAGGAAUUUUAUGGUUUGAAAUUUCAGAUUGCUCAUCUCAAAAACUUAAUAGCUGAAAUUUCGGAUAAGCAGACCACCUUAGUUAAUAAGAUGGCCACUAAAUCGGAAAAAUUUUAUGAGAAUAAAGAUGAAGAUCUAAAAUAUAUUGAUGUGUCCCUAUUAAAUCUUUGUUUUGCAAUAUGAAUCUUGAUAAUGAUGGGACUGAAAAUGAGUCAACUUUAGUUAGAAGGCGUUCCAAAAAUUCGGAGUUUUUAGAUCUUGAUGCAAAAAUUGGUAAAAGUGGGAUUGAAGAGGUCAAAAAUUUAGAUACCAAUGAACCCACUAUUUUGAUUUCAAGGAAUUUAAUUAUGAUAAUUGCUCUUUGAUAGAUUGUAUUUCCUUGUUGCAAUCCGUGCUAAAUUUGCCUCAUGCUUAUAGUCAAAAUAAAGCUUUUACUAAACAUAUUGUUGAUGCUUUAAUGCAAUCUUAUGAAGAAAAACUUGAGUUGGAAGUUUCUAACCCUAGAAAACUUUAUGAUGAAUGGGAACCUACUAUUUAAAUUAAAAUUAAAGAUCAUGAAUACUAUGCUUUGUGUGAUUUGGGUGCUAGUGUUUCCACGAUUCCAAAAACUUUGUGUGAUUUGUUAGGUUUCCGUGAAUUUGAUGAUUGUUCUUUAAACUUGCACCUUGCGGAUUCCACUAUUAAGAAACCUAUGGUAAGAAUUAAUGAUGUUCUUAUUGUUGCAAAUAGGAACUAUGUGCCCGUAGAUUUUAUUGUUCUUGAUAUAGAUUGCAAUCCUUCAUGUCCUAUUAUUCUUGGUAGACCUUUCCUUAGAACGAUUGGUGCAAUUAUUGAUAUGAAGGAAGGAAAUAUUAGAUUCCAAUUUCUGUUAAGGAAAGGCAUGGAACACUUUCCUAGAAAGAAGAUAAAAUUACCUUAUGAAUCUAUUAUGAGAGCCACUUAUGGAUUGCCUACCAAAGAUGGCAAUACCUAGAUCUACCCUCGCUUCUAUGCCUAGCUAGGGGCGUUAAACGAUAGCACUUGUUGGGAGGCAACCCAAUUUUUAUUUUAGUUUUUUGCUUUUUGCUCCUGUUUAGGAUUAAAUCUUUGAUCUAGCCUCUGGUUAGAUGUGUUUUUGUGUUUUAAUUAGUGUUUGUGCCAAGUUAAACCUAUAGGAUCUUCUUGGAUGAUAGUUAUUUUAUCUUGCUGAAAAUUCCAGAAACUUUCUGUUCAUGAAAACAAUUGUUAAAAAUCACCAGAACGUGAUAAAAUACCGAUUCCAAUUGCAGAAGAUCAAUAAACAAAUUAUCUAGGUCUUCCUAUUUUGGAAGAUAUUUUUGAGUUCCAGAAGUUUGCGUUAGUUACAGAUUACUACAGACUGUUCUGUUUUUGACAAAUUCUGUUUUUCGCGUGUUGUUUGCUUAUUUUGAUGAAUCUAUGGCUAGUAAAAUAGUUUAUAAACCAUAGAGAAGUUGGAAUACAGUAGGUUUAACACCAAUAUAAAUAAAGAAUGAGUUCAAUACAGUACCUUGAAGUGGUGUUUUGUUUUCUUUCGCUAACGGAGGUCACGAGAUUUUCUGUUAAGUUUUGUGUUGUGAAGUUUUCAAGUUUUGGGUAAAGAUUUGAUGGAUUAUGGAACAAGGAGUGGCAAGAUCCUAAGCUUGGGGAUGCCCAAGGCACCCCAAGGUAAAUCUAAGGACACCAAAAAGGCAAAGCUUGGGGAUGCCCCGGAAGGCAUCCCCUCUUUUGUCUUCGUCCAUCGGUAACUUUACUUGGAGCUAUAUUUUUAUUCACAACAUGAUAAGUGUUUUGCUUGGAGCCUCUUGUAUUAUUUGAGUCUUUGCUUUUUAGUUUACCACAAUCAUCUUCGCUGUACACACCUUUUGAGAGAGGCACACAUGAUUCGGAAUUUAUUAGAAUACUCUAUGUGCUUCACUUAUAUCUUUUGAGCUAUAUAGUUUUUGCUCUAGUGCUUCACUUAUAUCUUUUAGAGCACGGUGGUGGUUUUGUUUAUAGAAACUAUUGUUCUCUCAUGCUUCACUUAUAUCAUUUAGAGAGCACUACAAAACAGCAUGGUAAUUUUCUUAAAUUGAGAAAUUAGUCCUAAUAUGAUAGGCAUCCAAGAUUAGUAAAAACUUUCUUAUAAGUGCGUUGAAUACUAAGAAAAUUUUGAUGCUUGAUGAUUGUUUUGAGAUAUGGAGGUAGUGAUAUUAAAGUUGUGCUAGUUGAGUAGUUGUGAAUUUGAAAAAUACUUGUGUUGAAGUUUGCAAGUCCCGUAGCAUGCACGUAUGGUAAACGUUGUGUAACAAAUUUGAAACAUGAGGUGUUCUUUGAUUGUCCUCCUUAUGAGUGGCGGUCGGGGACGAGCGAUGGUAUUUUCCUAUCAAUCUAUCCCCCUAGGAGCAUGUGUGUAAUGCUUGGUCUUUGAUGACUUGUAGAUUUUUGCAAUAAGUAUGUGAGUUCUUUAUGACUAAUGUUGAGUCCAUGGAUUAUACGCACUCUCACCCUUCCAUCAUUGCUAGCCUCUUCGGUACCGUGCAUUGCCCUUUCUCACCUUGAGAGUUGGUGCAAACUUCGCCGGUGCAUCCAAACCCCGUGAUACGAUACGCUCUAUCGCACAUAAACCUCCUAAUAUCUUCCUCAAAACAGCCACCAUACCUACCUAUUAUGGCAUUUUCAUAGCCAUUCCGAGAUAUAUUGCCAUGCAACUUUCCACCGUUCCGUUUAUCAUGACACGUUUCAUCAUUGUCAUAUUGCCUUGCAUGAUCAUGUAGUUGACAUCGUAUUUGUGGCAAAGCCACCAUGCAUAUUUUUCAUACAUGUCACUCUUGAUUCAUUUCCCAUCCCGGUACACCGCCGGAGGCAUUCAUAUAGAGUCAUACUUUGUUCUAGUUUCGAGUUGUAAUCAUUGAGUUGUAAAUACUUGAUUCAUUGCCCAUCCCGCAACCUUCUGUACCCGUGAGAUCCCAUCUUGGGGCCUUUUCCGGCGUCCUGCCGGAGGGGGCAUUGAUCACGGAGGGCUUCUACAUCAACACCAUAGCCUCUCUGAUGAUGUGUGAGUAGUUUACCUCAGACCUUCGGGUCCAUAGUUAUUAGCUAGAUGGCUUCUUCUCUCUCUUUGGAUCUCAAUACAAAGUUCUCCUCGAUUCUCUAGGAGAUCUAUUUGAUGUAACUCUUCUUUUGCGGUGUGUUUGUCGAGAUCCGAUGAAUUGUGGGUUUAUGAUCAAGAUUAUCUAUGAAAAAUAUUUGAAUCUCCUCUCAAUUCUUUUAUGUAUGAUUGGUUAUCUUUGCAAGUCUCUUCGAAUUAUCAGUUUGGUUUGGCCUACUAGAUUGAUCUUUCUUGCAAUGGGAGAAGUGCUUAGCUUUGCGUUCAAUCUUGCGGUGUCCUUUCCCAGUGACAGCAGGGGCAGCAAGGCACGUAUUGUAUUGUCGCCAUCGAGGAUAAAAAUAUGGGGUUUAUAUCAUAUUGCAUGAGUUUAUCCCUCUACAUCAUGUCAUCUUGCUUAAAGCGUUACUCUGUUCUUAUGAACUUCAUACUCUAGAUGCAUGCUGGAUAGCGGUCGAUGUGUGGAGUAAUAGUAGUAGAUGCAGAAUCGUUUCGGUCUACUUGUCACAGACGUGAUGCCUAUAUACAUGAUCAUACCUAGAUAUUCUCAUAACUAUGCUCAAUUCUAUCAAUUGCUCGACAGUAAUUCGUUUACCCACCGUAAUACUUAUGCUAUCUUGAGAGAAGCCACUAGUGAAACCUAUGGCCCCCGGGUCUAUUUUCCAUCAUACUAAUCUUCCGUCAACAAGUUAUUUCUAUUACCGUUUAUUUUGCUUUCUUUACUUUUAGUCUUUAUCAUAAAAAUACCAAAAAUAUUAUCUUAUCAUCUCUAUCAGAUCUCACUCUCAUAAGUGACCGUGAAGGGAUUGACAACCCCUUUAUCGCGUUGGUUGUGAGGUUCUUAUUUGUUUGUGUAGGUGCAUGGGACUUGAGCGUGGCCUCCUACUGGAUUGAUAGCUUGGUUCUCAAAACUGAGGGAAAUACUUAUGCUACUUUGCUGCAUCACCCUUUCCUCUUCAAGGGAAAACCAACGCAGUGCUCAAGAAGUAGCAAGAAGGAUUUCUGGCGCCGUUGCCGGGGAGUCUACGCACAAGUCAAGACAUACCAAGUACCCAUCAAAAACUCUUAUCCCUCGCAUUACAUUAUUCGCCAUUUGCCUCUCGUUUUCCUCUCCCCCACUUCACCUUUGCCGUUUUAUUCGCCCUCUUUUCCAUUCGCCUCUUUUUCACUUGCCUCUUGUUUGCUUGUGUGUUGGAUUGCUUGCUUGUCCCGAUGGAUCUACCUAGAUUUGGUGAUCUUCACCUUAAAAGGUUAGAAGAGAUUGAAAGCAACGUCAGGAGUUUUAUGACUUUACAAUUUGAGAAUAAUAAUUUCUUUAGAAACGAGCUGAAGGAACAAAAAAGCUUUAUGGGAUACAUGAAUAAAGAGCUCGAUGACAUGUCUAAGGAAUUUUAUGGUUUGAAAUCUCAGAUUGCUCAUCUCAAAAAAUUAAUAGCUGAAAUUUCGGAUAAGCAGACCACCUUAGUUAAUAAGAUGGCCGCUAAAUCGGAAUUUUUUUAUGAGAAUAAAGAUGAAGAUCUAAAAUAUAUUGAUGUGUCCCCUAUUAAAUCUUUGUUUUGCAAUAUGAAUCUUGAUAAUGAUGGGACUGAAAAUGAGUCAACUUUAGUUAGAAGGCGUUCCAAAAAUUCUCAUAACUAUGCUCAAUUCUAUCAAUUGCUCGACAGUAAUUUGUUUACCCACCGUAAUACUUAUGCUAUCUUGAGAGAAGCCACUAGUGAAACCUAUGGCCCCCGGGUCUAUUUUCCAUCAUAUUAAUCUUCCGUCAACAAGUUAUUUCUAUUACCGUUUAUUUUGCUUUCUUUACUUUUAGUCUUUACCAUAAAAAUACCAAAAAUAUUAUCUUAUCAUCUCUAUCAGAUCUCACUCUCGUAAGUGACCAAGAAGGGAUUGACAACCCCUUUAUCGCGUUGGUUGCGAGGUUCUUAUUUGUUUGUGUAGGUGCGUGGGACUUGAGCGUGGCCUCCUGCUGGAUUGAUACCUUGGUUCUCAAAACUGAGGGAAAUACUUACGCUACUUUGCUGCAUCACCCUUUCCUCUUCAAGGGAAAACCAACGCAGUGCUCAAGAGGUAGCAGUUAUGAUUGAACCGGCCCUAGUUAUGGAUUGUUAGUCACCAAUGGUUUUUAUAUAGGGUGUUGUGACCCGCCCUGGGGUAAACCGCCAGGGUACUUGUGAUCUGUUUUGUGUGCAGGUAAAAUACUAAAUCUAGCAUACAGAGUUGAUGUCAUCAUAAGCAUAAGUGGCCGAACUUCAAUUGGUAAAGCAGCAGUGUCAUGCAAAGCAAAACAUGCACGAUGGCACAGAAGAUCAAAAUUUUAACUAGCCUAUUACAAGGCAUCUGAUGGCCCAAGGAGAAUAAGUAUUUCGGAGCUGUCAACACAGCAAAGUAUUCUGCUUAAUAAACCGGCUUAUGACUAUUGGCGGGUUGAAGCCUCCGGGUCUUCCUUCACCUCUUCUUCAUCUGCAGCUCCUUGCUUAUCCAUCAGCUGGAAGUCAGGCGCAGCCCAGUUGAUACCGGUCAAUGCUCUAAACACAGCUUCAUCAUCAAUAAGAUUGGAUGGAUCAAUGUCAGGAGCGAAGGUGUGCUUACGAAUUAGCGGGCUGAGAUCUUUUGGCUCGUGAAUCGGCGCGCUCACUCUCUUGUUUUCAGCGUCAUAAGCCGACUGGUAUGUAGAUAGACUGGUUUCGUCAGCACUGAAGGCAGAUCCGUCUUCUUUGACACUAGGGCAGCCGUUGGCCAAAUCCUCCGGGUCAAGAUCGGCUUGCCAUGCCUUUUCCCGCCUUAAGGCAGUCGAGGCGCCGGCUCUGGCAGCUCCCCAUUUUAAGUCAUCAAUUCUUUUGGGAAGCACGGAUAACUGCUUCAGUGUAUCUUUGAUAAGUGUGGAGGGAGUUUUCUUGUGCAGCGUAGUAGCAAUGGUUCGUUGGGCACCAGUAUAUAACUGUUCUACAAGAGUGUAGACAGCCUUAAGCCGGACGUGCAUGUCUGAGCCCAACUUUGCACUCCGUGAACCUAUAUCAGUAAAAUUAUGAGUAAGUCGGCAGAUAUUCACAAUGUGAUUCUUGAGGUACAAAGGAGACAUGUUUUUCUACUUACCAAAGAUGGCUGACGACAUGAUAUUAAUAUGUUGCUUUAAGCCGGAUAACUCUUCAGUCACCGUCUUAAGUGCCGCUUCAGCAUCAUCUGUUCUCUUCAAUAGAGCCGCCUUCUCAGUUUCCCAGCCAUCUUUUUCAGCAUUGAAAUUUUGCUUCAGUUGUUCAAUAUUCUCCAAAGCAGUUUUUAAUUCUGUUUUGGCUUUGGAUGUCCCGGCUUGCUGAGUUUUCACACUGGCCUUCAGAUCAUUCAGCCGUGCAUCCUUUUCGGUCAGUUCAGCCUGUGAUAUAUGCAAACAUGAAAGGUGUUAUGAUCAUGAUGAUUUGUGAAGUCCCAAGCACAAUACAAGUAUUAUACUUGGCACUUGGGGGCUAAUGCCCCCUCCUUCUUAUUCUUCCUUGGCCUCCUCCCUAGAUGGGAGGAGAGUUCCCCCUCUGGUCCAUGGCCUCCAUGGGGGCGGAGGGGCGGGAUCCCCUCCAAGAUUGGAUCUCCCUCUCUGUUCUCUUCUGUUUCACGUUCCCCAGAUCUGGCCCUUCACCGUUUCUUAAAUUCCCGAAGAUCCAUAACUCCAAUUGCGCUUAAAUUUUUACACGAUUUUUUUUCAUAAACUAUCUUUCUUGCGCCAGAAGAAGGGCCCCAACCGCCUUACGGGCACAAGACACCUGGGCGCGCCAGGGGUGCCUGGCGCGCCCUGGUGGGUUGUGGAGGCCGUGGGCCUCCGUUAGCGUUGAUUCCAAGUCCCAAAAAUAAAAUAUAUUCCAAAAUAUAUCUCCGUAAAUUUUUAUCGCGUUUGGACUUUGUUUGAUAUGGAUUUUCUGCAAAAAAAAACAUGCGACAAAUAGGAACUGACACUAGGCACUGGAUCAAUAUGUUAGUCCAAAUAAAUCAUAUAAAAUGUUGCCAAAAGUUUAUAAAAGUUGUAUAAUAUUGGCAUGAAACAAUCAAAAAUUAUAGAUACGACGGAGACGUAUCAGCAUCCCCAAGCUUAAUUCCUGCUCGUCCUCGAGUAGGUAAAUGAUAAAAAAGAUAUUUUUUAUAUGGAAUGCUACCUAGCAUAAACUUGAUCAUAUAUCUAAUCAUGACAUGAAUAUUAAGACAUAAGUGAUUCAAAGCAAUAGUCUAUAAUUUGACAUAAAGACAUCAACACUCAGGCAUCCCAACAAACAUUCAUGUCUUUCAAAAUAUCAACGCUAAAGAAAGCUAUCCCUACAAAAUUAUAUUGUCUUGUCAUGCUCUGUCUUCUUAACACAAAGUAUUUCUCAUGCACAACCCCGAUGACAAGCCGAGCAAUUGGUUCAUACUUUUUAACACGCUUCAGCUUUUUCAAACCUCAUAUAAUACAUGAGCGCAAGCCAUGGAUAUAGCACUAUGGGUGGAAUAGAGUAUGAUGAUAGGGGUAAAUAUAGAGAAGACAAAAAAGUAAGAAAGUCUCACAUCGAUGCGGCUAACCAACGGGCUAUGGAGAUGCCCAUCAAUUGAUAUCAAUGCGAGGAGUAGGGAUUUCCAUGCAAUGGAUGCACUAAGAGCUAUAAGUGUAUGAAAGCUCAAUAUAACAACUAAGUGGGUGUGCAACUAAUCCUAUGAUGAAAAAUUCCCACUACUAUAUGAAAGUGACAACAUAGGAGACUCUCCAUAUGAAAAACAUGGUGUUACUUUGAAGCACAAGUGUGGAACUAGCAUGCCCCUUCUCCCUUUAUUUAUUCUUUCUUUCUUUCUUUUUUUUCUUUCUUUUUUCUUUCUUUUUUUCCUUUAUUUUUUUCUUUUCUUUUCUUUUUUAUAUAUUUUUUCUCUCAUUGUCCGGAGUCUCAUCCCGACUUGUGGGGGAAUCAUAGUCUCCGUCAUCCUUUCCUCACCGGGGCAAUGCUCUAAAAAUGAAUAAUGAUGAUCAUCACACUUCUAUUUACUUACAACUCAAUAGAAAUGAAAAUUACAACUCGAUACCUAUAACAAAGAAUGACUCUAUAUGAAUGCCUUUGGCAGUGUACCAGGAUGUGCAAUGAUCUAGCAUAACAACGAUAUCAAAAAACGGACAAGCCAUGUAAAUAACAUGCUAGCUAUCUUACGAUCAUGCAAAGUAGUAUGACAAUGAAUGCUCAAGUCAUCAAAAUGUAAACGGUGGACGUUGCAUGGCAAUAUAUCUCGGAAUGGCUAUGGAAAGGCCAUAAUAGGUAGGUAUGGUGGUUGUUUUGAGGAAGAUAUAAUAAAGCUUAUGUGUGAUAGAGCGUAUCAUAUCACGGGGUUUGGAUGCACAUGCGAAGUUUGCGCUGACUCUCGAGAUGAGAAAGGGAAAUGCACGGUAUCGUAGAGGCUAGCAAAUUGUGAAAAGAUAACAGUGCGUAUAAUCCAUGGACUCACAUUAGUCAUAAAGAACUCAUAUAAUUAUUGCAAAAGUUUAUGAGCCCUCGAAGCAAAUUACUACUACGCAUGCCCCUAGGGGGGUAGAUUGGUAGGAAAAGACCAUGGCUUGUCCCCGACCGCCACUCAUAAGGAAAACAAUCAAUAAUAAAUCAUGCUCCAACUUCAUAGCAUAACGAGAGACUAUACGUGCAUGCUUCGGGAAUCACAAACCUUAAUACCAAUAUCUUACUAACCACAACUGUUUACUAGUACCUCCCACAUAUUUCAUCUCUAUAUCGCAAAACUAUUGUAAGGAAUCAAACAUAUCAUAUUCAGUGAUCCACAAGUUUUAUGUAGGAUUUUAUGACUAACCAUGCAAUCGACCAAUUCCUGUUGACUCUCUAAAUAGAUCUAAGUGAGGCAUGAGAGUUUAAUUCUUUCUACAAAAGAUCAUGCUCUAAUAAAUAUAAGUGAAGCAAAAGAGCAUUCUACAAACAACGAUUUUCUAUAUGAAGAGAAACAGGCAAUCCAAACUUCAAAUGGUAUAAGUGAAGCACAUAAAGUAUUCUAUAAAGCCAUACUCAAAAGAUAUAAGUGAAGUGCAAUGAGCAUUCUAUAAAUCAACCAUGCACUAUCUCAUACCAGCAUGGUGCAUAAAAGAAAAAUGAAAACUAAGUGCAAAAGACGCUCCAAGAUUUAAGCAUAUCACGUGAACGAAACGAAGAUGAAAACAUACUGAUAGUUGUUGAAGAAAGAUGGGAUGCCUACCGGGGCAUCCCCAAGCUUAGACGCUUGAGUCUCCUUGAAUAUUUACUUGGGGUGCCUUGGGCAUCCCCAAGCUUGAGCUCUUGCCUCUCCUCCUUCUCCUCAUAUCGAUAACUCCUCGAUCUUUGAUCACUUCAUCCACACAAAACUCAACAGAAAGCUUGGUAAAAUCCGUUAGUAUAAUAAAGCAAAUCACUACUCUAAGUACUAUUGCAAAUCAAUUCAUAUUUUGUUUUUGCAUUGUAUCUACUAUAAUAUAACUUUUUCAUGGCUUAUUCCACUGAUAGAAUCGAUAGUUUUAUUAAAACAAGCAAAACAAUGCAUCAAAAACAGAAUCUGUCUUAAACAGGGCAGUCUGUAGUAAUCUGAACAUUCACCAUACUUCUGGUACUCCAAAAAUUCUGAAAAAUUAGGACAAAAUAAACAAUUUGUAUAUCAAGACUGUGCAAAAUGUUUCAGAAACUUUCGACGUUCCAGUAAAAAAUGUAAAAUCGCGCACUACAGCCAAAGUUUCUGUUUUUGCACCGCACAUACCAACAAGCAAUCUACUCAUCCUAAAGGCAAAUCUUGGCACAUUAUUUUUAUAAUACAAUGGAAUUGUACAAGGGGAUAAUUAUUUUUUUGAGAAUCUUCAUGAAAAAUUCUACAUUAUUUCCAUAAGCAUGAACACAAGUAUUCAAGGUCGACCCUCACUUCUCCAAUGCAUAACUUCCAAUCGCUUCUCUUUUGUGAAAAUGUUUUUAAGUUCCCAUCUAUAUCUUUUUUGUUUUAAAACUUUAUAAAAGCACCCAACAGAAAUAAAUGACUCUCUAAAACUUCCGGGUUGUCUCCCUAGCAGCGCUUUCUUUAAAGCCAUUAAGCUAGGCAUAAAGUGCUCAAGUAAUGAAUCCACCCGGAUCCCAAGGUAUAUCAAAGCUAAUUUUAAUUAACAAUGAUUUGGCAUUUAGUAAUGAGCACAAAGCAACAUAUAUCAUGCAAUGACGAAGUCUAACUCUCUUCCUAUGCAUCGGCAUGUCAUACAAGAACAAUUCAUGCACAUCAAGUAAAGGCCAAUACAUAGCAUAAAAAGUUUCUUGUAAUUCUUUCGUGUUGGAAACAUAGAGAGGCGGAGAUGUAAUUCCUCACUCAUAAUAAUUGCAAGUAGGAGCAGCAAUCACAUGCAUAUUAUAUUCAUGAAAAUCAUCAUGUGUAGUGGUAGAAUGCAACCCAUCAAUGUAAUCCUUAAUAAGAGCAAACUUCUCCGAUAUAGUGUAGUUUGGAGAAUUCAAAAAGAUAAUAGGACUAUCAUGUGUGGGUGCAAUAGCAACAAUUUCAUUCUCAACAAAAGGAACUAUAGCAAGUUCGUCUGCAUAAGCAUAAUCCAUAUUGGCAUCAUGGCCACAAGCAUAGCAAUCAUCAAGUUCAUCAAAAAGGGAUAUUUCAAAAGAAUCAACGAGAUCAUAGCAAUUAUCAUAGCAUUCAUCCUUCGGUGAGAACGAAGGGAAAUUAAAUAAUGUAUGUGUUGAAGAGUUACUCUCAUUAGAAGGUGGGCACGGGUAGCUAAUCCGCUCUUCUUCCUUUUGUUCUUCGCUCUCCUCAUCGUCUUUUUCAUCCAAUGAGCUCGCAGUUUCAUCAAUUUCUUCUUCCAUAGACUCCUGCAAAAUAUUAGUCUACUCUUGGAUAACGGAGACUUUCUCAAUAAAUUCAUCAAUAUCUGAAUUGUAUUUAUAAUUAUCAUAGCAAUAUUUAAGGAUAGCAAAAUUUUCAGGUCUAUAAACUGAAUCAUCAAAAUCUUCAAACUUUAAAAACAAAGAUUCAAUUUCAUAAGCACCCUUAAGAGCAACCAAUUCUUCUAUUCGUUCCACAUCAUAGUAAUCAUAUAUACCAUUAGCAUAGAAAGCUAAGGUUUCAUUAUCAUUAAAUUUGCAUGAAAAAGGAAGAUGUGGAGCGUUCAUCCUAGAGCAAAAAGUAUAAUCCUAUCUCAAGCAUAGCUCCCGAGCAUACCAAUGCAACAUAUGAAUUUCAUCCCAUAAAAAUUUCCCUUUAUGAGUUAAGCGAUAAUCCCUAAAGUAUUCGCGUUGAUCCAACGUUACUCCCAUUAUAUAGUUGAAUGGGGUUUUCUCACGAUUAUCAAAGUAGUGCAUAAUAUCUUCCACAUAACGAGCAUUGAGGGUUUUAGGAGGUUCCCCAUCUCCAUGAGUAGCAAGUACAACUAAUUUUUUUGGUGUUUCGUGUUCCAUAUCCAUAACUAAAGAUAGAGAACAACUUAGAACAGAAAAUAAAACUACUUAGUGAUAAAGCAAACAAGCACACACGAGAAUAUUCACCCCCACGCUAUUGCUCCCCGGCAACGGCGCCAGAAAAAGGUCUUGAUAACCCACAAGUAUAGGGGAUCAUUUGUAGCCUUCUUCGAUAAAUAAGAGUGUCGAACCCAACAAGGAACCCUAGGAAAUCGAUAACAAGUACGGGUAAUCAUUCUUGUAAUUUUAUAUGAGGGAGAGGCAUGAGCUAACAUACUUUCUCUACUUGGAUCAUAUGCGCUUAUGAUUGGAACUCUAGCAAGCAUCCGCAACUACUAAAGAUCAUUAAGGCCGUGAAACCCAACCAUAGCAUUAAGUAUCAAGUCCUCUUUAUCCCAUACGCAACAACCCACCUACUCGGGUUUAAGCUUCUGUCACUCUCGCAACCCACCAUAAGCAAAUCAUGAACGUAUUGCAACACUCUACAGCGGGGAUCUCCCACGUUUGCACGAGACGGAGGGCACUGUAGGACAGCACCAUAAAUAAAAUAGACAAUCGUACCAACCAAGAUCAUGAUUAACCCAUAGGACAAAACAGAUCUACUCAAACAUCAUAGGAUAACCAUAGAUCAUUGGGAAAAAAUAUAUGGAGUUGAGCACCAUGUUUAAGUAGAGAUUACGGUGGGGAGAAGGGGUGUUACACCGCUACGUAGAGGGGGAGAAAGUUGGUGUUGACAGUAGCAAGAUUGUUGAUGUAGAUCGCCGUCACGAUCCUAGCCCCGGCGGCACUCCGGCGCCACCGGAAGCGAGGGGGAGAGAGCCCCCUCCUUCUUCUUCUUCAUUGGCCUCCUCCCUAGAUGGGAGGAGAGUUCCCCCUCUGGUCCAUCGCCUCCAUGGCGGCGGAGGGGCAGGAGCCCCUCCGAGAUUGGAUCUCCCUCUUUGUUCUCUUCUGUUUCGCGUUCCCCAGAUCUAGCCCUUCACCGUUUCUUAAAUUCCUGGAGAUCCGUAACUCCGAUUGCGCUGAAAUUUUUACACUAUUUUUUCCAUAAAUUAUCUUUCUUGCGCCAGAAGAAGGGCCCCAACCGCCUUACGGGGUGGGCACAAGACACCUGGGCGCGCCAGGGGGUGUCUGGCGCGCCCUGGUGGGUUGUGGAGGCCGUGGGCCUCCGUUACCGUUGAUUCCAAGUCCCAAAAAUCACAUAUAUUCCAAAAUAAUUCUUCGUAAAUUUUUAUCGCGUUUGGAUUUCGUUUGAUAUGGAUUUUUUGCGAAACAAAAAACAUGCAACAAACAAGAACUGACACUGGGCAGUGGAUCAAUAUGUUAGUCCAAGUAAAUCAUAUAAAUAUUGCCAAAAGUUGUAUAAUAUUGGCAUGAAACAAUCAAAAAUUAUAGAUACGACGGAGACGUAUGAGAUGUCAACUCGUCGAGUUCUUGGGUGGACUGUCAAGAUGGGUUGUCCAGAUUGGAUCUACUAAUAUGCAAAUCUGCUAGUCUAUGGCUUUUGAAGAUGUUGAAUAUGUCCUUCGUCUUUGACAACUGCCUUUAUAGGGAUAUCGGUCAAUGGUCUCCAUCCCUUUACCUUCAUCUUCUUGCCUUGCAUGUCGUAGACCUCAUUCUUGUAGUCACGCGACUCCCCUCAAGGGCACCGGGAGUGGCAUGCCUAAGGGUGUUGCUCGCCCAAGUAUGGGCCUUAGUAUCAAGCAUAUAUAGGCAAAUACAACCCAAAAUACGGUAUGUGUAGCCCGGGAAUGCGGUGAAACCACCUCCCCUCGAUAAGGACAUCGGUCAAUAUUCGUAAUGCGCUGAAUCAAAAUAUUUACUUUCAUUUUAUAGUUCACCCAUCUCGUCCAAUUUGGAUAAUAUUGAUGUUGCUAUGGGAAGAAUAAUUGAGGGGGUAGGUGUGUCGGUGAGGGAUCUCUAGAAUGUAGAAAUUGAUUGUUUAAAGGUUUCUUCCAACAACUCGAGCCCUCAUGUGAACCUCAACACCAAGGAGGAGUGGGGAGCUAGGAGGGGGUACCGUCUGUGACGCUCAACUUCCCACUGUAACAAACCAGAUUAAUGAUAGUAAUUGAUAAUUGAUUAUUGAACAUAAGCAUCUCAUAAGCAUCAUGUUUAAUUAAAUUUUCAUUUGAAAAAUAGGAGAAUUCAACCCUCAAGUUUUCCAAAAACCAUAAAAUAAACACAACUUUAAUAAAAAGAUGUAGAUCUUAACCUAUUUAAAUGGAGGCACAUAGUGACUUCUCUUGAAAAACUGCACACAUCCUUCAAAUAUUAUUAGGCAUCUACCAAACUUAUUUUGCGAAUUUUGGAAAUACCUGCAACCCCAAUUAAUAACCAAAUUGGGUUUAUAUCUACAGAAAACAUAAAUAUAAACUAAAAAAUACCAAAAACUUUUGUAUGGGUUUGGUUAUUACCCAGAGAGCUACACAAAAAGUUUGAGAAAAUUUAGAGGUUGUUUGGUCCCUCAAGUAAAUGCAAAGAUGAGAUGCAUCUUAAAAAUAAAUAUAGAAGGCCCAAAAAUCAAGUGCACUUAAGCCCAAAAGGGCCCAUGCACCAAGCCCACCCCUCUUAUUCAACCUCAUGUACAAAAGACAGUGAGACUAGCUUUUGUCUCGCCGAAGGUUUCCCGUCCUCUCUCUAGUAAUGGGUUGGCCCUGCUCGCUCACUGGCUCGUUCGCUCGCUGCGUUUUGCUCGUGCUUUUUUCUUUUUUUCUUUUUGGUUUACCAUUCGGUUAUUUUAUUUCUUCAUGGAUUUUUUUGGUUUUUUGUCUUCCUUUGUUUUAAAAUUGUUUUUCGUUUUAUUCCUAUUUUUACUGGUUUUAUGUUUUUUUCUUUGUUUUUGUCCAUUUUUUCUGUUGUUCCUUUCUCCAUUUAUUGUUUUUUCUUUUCUAUUCUAUUUUCUUCGAUUUUGUUUCCAUCCUUCUUAGUUCUGAUCUUCUUCUUUUGUAUUUCUUCAGUUUUGAUUUGUUUUUCUGGGUUUUUCUUCGUUUCCUCAUGGGUUUUCAUGGUUUUUUCUUCGGGUUUUCUUGUUUUUGAGGUUUUUCUUUCUUCCGUUUCUUCGGUUUUCACCACUUUUGUUUGGCUUUUUUUCUUCAACGCAUGUCUACAUUUCCAUGCACAUUUGUACAUUUUACACAUAGAUCAAGAACAUUUGUUUAUACAUGUUUAAUAUUUUUGAAAUAUGUAAUUAACAAUUUUAAAAAUUUAUGUUUGAUGACUACUUUUUUCAGACACAUUGUACAUUUUUGGUAUAUAGCAAGAACAAAUUUUGAAACAUGUUUAGAAAAUUUAAAAUAUGUGAUUAACAUUUUUUAUACAUGGUGAACUUUUUUAAAAUUUAUAUUUAUAUGUUCAAAUCUUUAAUACAUGUUUUUACAUUUUUCAUAUACAUCAGGAGCAUUUUUUUGUACACAAAUAAUAUAUUUGAAAUAGAUGACUAAUUUUUUUUCCUGGUUGAUGACUACUUUUUCAUACACAUUGUACAUUUUCGGUAUAUAUCAGGAACAGUUUUUAUACACGGUUAACAUUUUUGGAACAUAUGAUUAACAUAUUUUGAUACACGAUCAACAAUUUUUAAAAAUUAUGUUCAAUUUUUAAUACAUGUUCUACAUUUUCUGUAUCAUAAGGAAGAAUAUACAUGUUUAACAUUUUUAUAAUAGAUGAUUAACAUUUUUUAAAUGCUUGAUUAACAUUUUUUAAUAAUACAUGAUCAACUUUUUUCAUGCACAUUUUAUUUGUUUUGUAUACAUUUUUUGUAUAGAUGAGAAACAUUUUUACUACACACAUUUAACAUUUUACAAAUGCUACAUUAACAUUUUCAAAUGUUUUAUCUAGAGUGUUUUUUGUAUUAUAUUUUUCAACUAUUUGGAAGUAUAAACAACAGUGAAAAGUGAAAGCAAAACACGAGAAAACAACAAAACAAAAAAAACGAGGCUGUGGCCUCCCGCGCGCCUAGGUCGGCCCAUCUCACGCCUCCAUUCAGGCGAGCCUUCCCUUUGUCUCGCGUGAAGCGAGGUAUAGCAGCGCCCCAAGAGACAGAACCAUGGUGUGGCGCACAUGGCACAUCGACGGCAGCCACGGUCAUGGAUGGCCUCCACGUCAUCCCACAACGUUGUAAAGACGUCUCCCAUGUUGCCCUAGGUCCCUUCCUCCCUUUCCCCUCUCUCCCUUCGCUUCGGUGGCGUGUAGCUGACGCACACUAGCACAAUCACUGACAUCGUUCAUCGAACUGUGGCCAUGAGCUCUCCCGCGUGAGGAAUCGAGCCGAGAAUCCCGAAGCGCAACGCACUCGACCUCUCUUCCUCGUCAUAGUCGCUGACACCAACCAUCAAUCUCGUCACCAAACAAUCUUAAAAAAAUGAUUUAGUUAGUUAUUAUAAAAUGUCUCCUUAAUAUACUUGUAUAACUACGAUUGCUUAACACGAAUGGAAAGCACUACCGUGGUUGUGGUUGCCACAACUAGAACGAACGCGGGUACAUCCAAGGGAAGUGAAUCGUGACGAGCACAUGUUUCACUCUAGCAAAUACAACAAGGACAUAGGACAGAAAGGUGGCAGUAUAGUAAGGGCAUAUGCAAGAAAAGAGGCUGAAAUGGCGUGGUGAGAGAUUAAUCUAGUUGAUGAGAAAGGAGAACUUCGAGAGGCAGAGCAUGCUGAUCAGGAGACAAGGCGAGCCUGACAUGCAUUGUGCACGACAAGGAAUCACUUUCACAUCUUAGAGGCUUCAUUCAGCAUGUGUGUUCCGAGUUUUCUGCUGAAAUAGGCAUCCUGCAUAGCCAGUACUUUACUAAAACCUCCCACACCCAUGCCUACACUUUGGACCCCCUCUAUCCCUCAAUGGCUUGACUUGCACUUGUCACAUUGUUCUCCUUCUCUUGGCCCUAUCAAUCCAACACCGGUUAUAAGCUUUAUAUGCAGCCACCUACACUAUAGCAAUUAAUGCAAUCCAACAUAAGUUGGCAAGAAGGUUGCUUCACUUUUCAAACUAGAAAAUAUCGAAUGAGUUCGUGGGCCAUGUAUCACCCGCGGUAACCUACUCGAGUCAAGUAUAGUACAUCAUCGCUAUCUCUCUUUCCUCGCUGGAAGUGGCAACUACGCUCAACAAAGUGAACACAUAACAAGUAGUCAUAUGCUCAUAUAUCAAAUAUACGCUCAAUAGUAAAUGCCUAUGAUUUAAUAUGUUUUGGAUAUCCUUGGUCCCAUUCAAUUCAUGAGAUGUCUUACCUAUUGCAUUACUAUUUUACUUCAUUUAUGUAAACAUUGCAAACCUGAGACCAUCAAUCUGAAUAUGCUCACCUACCACUUCCUCUUUGGGGCACUUUCCACUAUUUUUUAGAAACUUCUAAUCUAUUCAUCUCUAAUCAUGGUAGUAAAAAGGACACCAGAGGUAAUAAAAAAUACAACUAGGUCCGUGGACCACCUAGCGACGACUACAAGCACUGGAGCGAGCCGAUAGCAGUUAUUGGAUCUCCAUUUCAAAAUAUAGUGCAUAUAUACAUCUUUAAAAUGCAAGAGAUUUGUUCUUCAAUGAAUUGAACAUAGAGGCAACAGUUCCAUAAUAAUUACAUCUGGUUGCAUUUGAUCUAGAUGCAUGUUAGCACUAUUUUUUUUACCAAACCAUUUCCUUCAAACGCCCAGCUUCUCAAAAACCUGAGACCAAGUAGUAUAACACAGAUACCACAAACACAACACGUUAUGAACUGGGAAUUUUGUUUCUAAAAAAACUGGCUAUACUAAAAUAGUCUGCUCUUGGAGCUAGGAACCUGGCAUGCCCAUGUUAGUUUGAACUGCCUCACAAAAAAAUGUUGGUUUAAACUAGAUGCUUUUUCUUAUCUCAUAGCGAAACAAAAUGAUGUGCAAAACUCCCUCAUGUUCUCUUCUUUUCAUAGCUCAAACCAUAACUACAAAAUAUAUAGAAAUUUGGAACAAGAACUUAGUUGGUUGUGCCAAACUACCGUAUGUCAAAAAAAAUGUUACAUGCAUCUUCCAGAGUGCCCAGGUUGGCAAAGAGCACUCAGAUUAGUCCUAAAAGCACAUGCUAUAGUUCAAUGAAGUUCACAACAACUUCUACACCCUAUGUCUUGUGGUCUGCGGGUAGUCACCCUGUGCAGCGUGGGUUGCGAGUAGCUGGGUCGUGCGGCGUUGUACCUCGUGGGUGAGCAGUGGUAUGUCUGGGUGGAGGCCCCUGAAGGUGGUGUUGGCUGAUUGCACGGGACGGAAUGGAGUGAUGGAUGUCGGGGCGGCGACUUCGACAUUUGGUAGCUUCGAGGGCUUUUGACUUCGUGUCGUGUGGCCGACGAGGUUGCCAUUGAUGUUGGUCGUCGGCAAUAUGCCAGAUUAUGCAAUUGGCGUAGGACCCAUGGAGUGCAAGCCCUUCAUUUCUGUGGGAGAGUCCCAUCACUACUCCUCUCAUAGUAGUCACAAAUUCUUCUUUCCGACAAUGGUGCAAGGUUGGCUUGUUCGGCGGAGCAGGGGUUCCCGUUGCUUAUGUAUGUGCGGUGGGUGUUCUUGUGCCAUUCGGCAUUUUAUCGACAAGAGUGGUUUGACAUCGUGUGCUUUGGUGUUCCAGAGUGGACUUGGCCCUUGAUGUAUCAGUUUUCACCCGGUUUUCUCCUAAUUAAUUGGACAUUUCUCUUCUGCUUAAUGGACGAGGCAAAUCUUUUGCCUUCAUUUAAAAAAACCCUCCACACUUUCUAGGUUCCAAUUCUAGGAAGAUGUUCUAGGAAAACAAGGCCCCUCUUUGGAUAUGGCUGCAAUCGCUACAAUAACAACACGUCUACACCCAAGUCCACAUCUAAAACAUGAGGGCACACGCUAUGACUCUGCUUCCACAUAUAUCUGUUUAGUGUUUACCCGACAGCACGACCGUGUUACAGACCGUGGUGAUUCCUCGGGGACAAAGAGCGAUGAUCCAUGCAUGCGGCAUGGAAUUCUCCAACCAUUGAUGUUGGUGACCGCACGUCGAGGCGAUUUCUCCACGAGCCUAGCUGGCUGGGUGAAAAUCCUGUCGCUGUCUGGUGCGCGUCCCGGAGCUAGCUAGUACAAACACCGAAACGUGGAAAUGGAGGAAGUUGCCAUGGUUUGGUGGGUGCGUCCUACAGGUCGAGGACUCCAUGAUUUGUAUUUUGCGGGUCAUGAAAUUUCUUUUUGUGCGAACAUGUUCAACAAAAUUCCUUAUAUAUUUCUCCAUUCUUGGUCUCAAGGGUGAGUUCCAAGUGGAUUAAACGGGUGUUAUUAGUUUGGUUAGAACAGGAGGCAUCCAAAUCCGACUAAUCUUUGUGCUUGGUUCUAAGUAGUCUCUGCAAAAUGCUAGCUGUAUCCUUAAUUUACUUGUACGUCUACGGUUCCUUAACCAGAUGUUCCUCUAGUGGGUGGAGCAAGUCGUGCAACAAUGCUCUCGCCAUGAAGUCUGAAGCCUUUAUCAUUGAUAACUUUGUGGAGAAUUUCUGGCGCAUGUAGCCUGACAGAAGGAACAGUGUCACUUCAUCCCACUAGUUAACACAUUCAUGCAAAGAGGAACUAGGACAAGUAUUGCGUCUCAAAGAUAACAGGUUGGUCUUCAGAGACACGAUGAGCUCACACUCAUUGGGCGGUUGCACGAGGUCAUGGCUACACGACGCUAACCCGGUUGUCGCAGUGGAACAAAUGGGUACUCGGAAAAUGAAACCGAGACAAGGAGAUAUGUUCCACCCAACAAUGAUAGAGUGCCAUGGAUCAGGGUCGAGGCUAGAAUGAAACGAACGGAUAUCGAUUUGGUUGGGGAGGAAGGCAAACAUGAUCAAAAGGAGCAAGUGUGGCAUAAGACACAACACACAUGACGUGAGUUGUGCACACCAAGGAUCCGCUUCCUUGUCCCAAAGGCUUCAUUCAACCUUUGUGAUCGAUAUUGGUAGGUGGAACAUAUUCCAUUCAUUGCCAACAAUUCACCGAUACCUCCCACACCUAUGGCUACACUUCCUACUAGCUACUUUUCUCGUUGGCAGUUUAGCUCGCCUUUGAUACACUGAUUUUGUUAUCUUUGGCCUAUAGAUCAUAGUAUAGUAGUAGGGGCUUUAUAUGCGGCCAUCUAUAUUGCAGUAAUUAAUGUUAUCCAGUACAAGAUGAGGAGGAGGUUGUUGCACAGGUUGAAGCAAUGACUUCAUAAUUCACCUUAACACGUACAUGUGUAUACAAUGUUGCUAUUUUAAGAGUGCCAUGUAGAAUAAAUCUUGAGGUAAAGAAGAAAAAAAUCAUAAAAAAUUGCAUUCUCUUAAUCAAGAUCUGAACUCUUAGCAAUAAUAUCUCUUAACAUAUAUUUAGCUAUAUGUAGUUUUUUUUCAGGAGUACACCAAAAGUGUACCAUAGUUUUAUAGAUCAUGUGUUUACAGGUAUGAUCAUUCGAUCUACACUUCUCAUCGUCGACAAUGAUUGUUGUUCUCGUCGUGUGAGACCUUAGUACAAUGACUUUUCGACUAUCUAGUAUCUACUACAACUAGAUUUAUUCGACUCCACUGAGGGAGAGCUAUGACGACUAGUUUCCGUGUUUGUAGUCGCUAGGUGGUCCACUGGACCCGACUGUAUUUUUUAUGGAUUCAAUAGGAUGACCUCCCGUAUUGAACGAAAGGUUCUUUGGGAAUCAAUCGUUCAAGCAAACGACAAUGUUCGCUACGAUCAGGUCCAGGCCCCUCCCCCCUCGAUGGCACUACAGAUGGGCCCAAAAAGAAAGCCUGGUUUUGUUGCAUCUAAGCCUUAAACUAGCCUAGUUUUGCUGUGACUAAGCCUUAAAAGAAAAUAAGUUUGUCAAAACUAAAAAUGUCAUGUGUGGAAAUUUAGAAAUUGUCGCUGUGCUUCAUGAGAUGCUGCAAAAAAAGUAAAAAAAAAUGUGAUGAUAAAAAAUGCCAUGGUGUGUUUAAAAGUGCUAUAGUGUACAAAAAAUGAAUAUGCCAUGGUGCUAAAAAUAAAUUUGUCAUUGUUAUGAAAAAGCUUCCAUUUUUUAUUCCCAUGGCAAAAUUAUUACCUAUACCAUGGCAAACUUAUUACAUAUUCCUUACAAAAUUUACCGAUGGUCAUGUAUGUAAUUUGCCAUGUCCUAGAGAACACGAAACCCCCUAAAAAAUGCCAUGUGAUUAGUCGGCCAGUUUUAAAAAAAAAGCUGUAUUAUGAUGAUCAAAUUUCAUUAUAAUGUCAUCUGACUAACCUAAAUAAUAAAACAAAUCUCUAAAACGUGGCAACAUGGAAAAGUUACAAAAACCUGAUCUCCCACAAAUAAAAAGCAAUGUUUUUCGGAGAACCCUACAUGGGAUUGCUAAUUUGCCAUGGUCAAUUGCAGAAAGGAAAAACGCAAAAAAGAAUUACGUAAUAAGUUUGGCAUGGUCUAGUUAAAUAAAUUGUCAUGGCAAAGCUAGUUGUUCUUUGCCAUGCUACAAAAAAAUUGCCAUGGUAAAAAAAUAAAGUAAAAAUAAAAUUGUCAUGAUAGAGAACGAAAAAGAAGAUACCAUGGAUUGUUUAGUAAAAUUUGCCAUGGUUCAUGUAAGCAAAAACUUCCCACAAAAGCGAUGAAAGUAAUUGACGUGUUUCAUAAAGUAAAUUUAUCAUAGUGCAUAAAAGCAAAACUUCCCAUAAGCGAUGAAAGUUACAUUUGCAUGGAUGUGUGAUACAAUAAGAAGUAAAUUUGCCAUAUAUAUGUAAAAAGCAAGUUUGCCAUGGCAAAAUGAAAGAUAAAUUUGCCAUAUAUAUGUAAAAAGUAAGUCUGCCAUGGCAAAAUGAAAGAUAAAUUUGCCAUGGCAAAAUAAAAUAUAAAUUUGCCAUGGCAAAAUAAAAUAUAAAUUUGCCAUGGCUGUAAAGUAAAAUUUGCAAUGCCUAUAAAAGUAAAUUUGCUAUGGCUAUAAAACUAAAUUGACGGUGCUACAAAGUAAAUCUGCCAUGUUCUUAAAAGGCAAAGUGUUAGGAAGAUCAUUUCCGAAAUAACAACUUAGACAUGGUAUUGGUAAAUAGCUAAUUUGCCAUGAUCUACAUGAGUACAUAGUAAGAAUUGCCAUACCGCGGUAGAAAAUGGCUAAUUUGUGAAAGCAUCUUAUGAAAAGCAAAAAAAAGCAUGUUCAUACAGGCUGAACAUGUAAACAUGCAUCUUGCUUAGUUGAUUUAAGUGGCAAUUUACAGAGACCUAUAAGGAGAAAAGCUAAUAUUCAACAAAGUUAUGAAAAGGAUGGCAAAACUGCCUGCCGUUGUACAACAAACACAAAAAGUACACCACAAAAAAUUAUAUUAUUUUUCGAGGUAAAAAAUCAUGUCAGAUGUUCAGAAAAAUGUUAUGAGUGGGAGUGUCCAUGGAAACUCACGUACAUGUAGCAAAAAUACUUAACAAUCCCAUGGCAAAUUAACAAUUAGAUGGGCAUGUGUAAAAAAUUUGGAGACAUGGCAAACUUGAUGGCAUGGGAAAAUUCAAGGGAUCCAUGACAAUUUCAACAAAAUUGCUGCAAAAAUGCAAGGGAGCACAAGAGGUACCCGUGGAUGUGGAUGUUGGGAGGCUUUCGGGUGCGAGCUGAGGUGGCGUAUGUAGGUCCAAUCCGGUGGUGGCGGCGUCGAUCCUUGCCGCGUCGUGCUGCACCCGUGGUGCAGACCUGGCCAAACGGGCCGGCCCGGCACGGCCCGACGUGGCACGUUUAAUAGCCGGGCCGUACCGUGCCGGCCCACGGGCGUGGCUCUCUGGCCCAGGCACGACCUGAUUAUUAAACGGGCCGGCCCGUGGCACGUUUAGCACGCUGGCCCAUCUGAUUUUUAGCCUGUUGGGCUGUAUUUUAGGCCUAUUAGGCUGUAAUUUAGGUCAUAUAUAUAUAUAAAAAAAUCUGAAAAAAUAAAACGGGCCGUGCCGUGCCGGCCCGCGUGCCCAGCCUCCAGGCCCAGGCAUGGCCCAUGGCGUGCCGCGUGCCGGGCCUAGCCCGUUUAGCUCGGGCCGUGCCGUGCCUGGGCCGUGUCGUUCCUGCGUGCUACUGGGCCGACCCAGUUAGCACGACCCGUUUGGCCAGCUAUACCGUGGUGUGAGGCUAGCUGCAUGACCGGUUCGGCCAUGAUGGUGGAGGCUGUGGCGGAGCAACGCAUCGACGGCAGGAGCAGUAGGGCGAGUCGUACUCGACCACACAUAACGUUGCGUCUGCUACUCAUCUUCCGCAUUGCGCCUCACCGAGCAGUGUAGUGUCGGCUCCCCCUUCCGCGUCCGUCUCCACAUUGCGACCACCUUGCACCCGGCCCCCGAUGACUGGGAGCACUGGAUGCAGUUGUUGUUGGAAGAGACCGCAGUGGGCGAGGGAGAACAACCGUAACGGGGAAAGGAAGAAGAGCCAUGGCGUUGCCCUUAGCCGGAGAAGCUCGUGCCAUCUCGAUUUGGAGGUGUAGCACUCGCGUGGACGUUGCCCGCUUCCUGGUUCUUGAGCCCGUUCACCGUCGGCAAGGGCGCGCGACGCCGCCUUGGGUGAGGAGGGAGGUUUCCGCGAUGACGGUUGUUCCCGAUGGGAGGAUGCGGCCAACACAGUUAUUGCAAAAUGCCGGUGGGGAGAAAGAACAACGUGGUGAGAGUGAGCACAAAGAGAUGAAUAGGGGCAUGGGGUUGCGGUCGUUGUGGCAGCAAACUUGCCGUGAGAUUCGUGCUAACGAUUCAAUGGUGAAAAAUGCGUUUCAUCCGUAAUCCUACAAACCGACGUCUUUUUUUAGUGAUUUCGAUUUUUAGUACCUCUAAUAUUCCGUACUGUCUUAUUAUAUCUGAUAGAUUUUUCCGAGGAAAAAGGUAGAGCAGAGCCCCCUAUCUAUACUUGCCCAUGGGCAGCCCGGCCCGGACGGCCCGACCCAACCCGGGCUAUAAAAGCCCGACCGGGCCUUGCCCAUAGGCUAGGCCUGGACCUAGAUUUUGAUCCCGAUGACCGGGCCAGCCCGGGCCCGGGCCCAUCGUUUCUGUAGUUUAAGGAAGAGGCCCGGCCCGAGGCCCGACAAGCUUUUUGCAUGAUGGGCCAGGCUUGGGCCUGAUUUUUAGGCCCGAUGACCGGGCCCGACCGGGCUCAGGCCUAGGUUUUCUCCAUCGGCUUUGGUAGGCCCGGCCGCCCGACGGAUGCCCAGGUAUACCCCUUUGCCCUCUCUCACCGUGCCAACUACUCCAAUCAUACUUGUCUCAAACAAAAAAACUACUCCAAUCAUACGUGAGGGCGCGGAUGCAAAAACACCCCACACCAAUCAUCCACGCGAGGGCGCGGAUGCAAAAACGCCCGCAGUCCAGCCAGUGCCGCUCCGCUCUAUAUAAACGAGCCGAGAGCGGGGGGCGGAAACCCUAAGCAGAGUGGGGAAAGGCGUCUUCGUACUCGCCUCUCUCCGCGCAUCCUAGCCUUCGCCCUCCUCCUUCCCCAUUUCGCCAGCGGCGCAGCCCACCAACCACCCCCACCCGCCGCCAUGAGGGAGUGCAUCUCGAUCCACAUCGGCCAGGCCGGCAUCCAGGUCGGGAACGCGUGCUGGGAGCUCUACUGCCUCGAGCAUGGCAUUCAGGUACGGAUCCAUCCGCUCGCCCCUCCUCCCCCCUUGGCAUGUCGUGUUCAGCGUCGGAUCUGGGGUUUGUAGUGGUUGGUGGUGCGCUCGGUCGGCCGGAUCUGGCGCAGAUCUGACUGCGGCUGGUCAGAUCUGCGGUUGCUCGAAGGGAAAAACCUGGAUCUGACGGAAUGCAGGGUGCAUGCGGUCGAUUCUGUGGGUCGAUCUGGUGUUGUGAAGGGCGCGGCCGGUUCGAAUUUGAAUUUUUAGGUGUGGAUUUACUGGAUCUCAGAUCUGAUGCAGUUCGCACCUGCUAUGGUGGUUGUAUAGGUUUUCCUUGUUCCGGAUAUGACCAGUUUUUCCCGAAACUGAAUCCAUCGGUUUGAAAAGCCACUUGCUAGAUAGAAUGUGAUCUGUAUAUUAUAAUAGGACGCCAGAUGUAUCAUCUGCUCUUGUUAGAACAUCACUGAUCUGGCGCACACUCGUUUUGUUUGAUCUGCUCUGUGCUGUACUGUUUAGAUCUGAUCGAAUUCUGCUAGAUCCGGUGGUAUCUGUUCAUGCAUGUAAUGUAUCCUUGCUGAUGGUUCUGAAAUUCACAUUGCCUGCUGGUAGAGAAAUGCAUCUCUAACUGAUUACCGUACUUAUCUUGUUGCUGCCAGGAUCCUUUUCUUGUCCUGUUGCUACAGAAUUUAGUAUGUUAGCUCUACAGCUUUAACACUGUUUAAUCCCCCCUGUGCAGCCUGAUGGCCAGAUGCCCGGUGACAAGACCGUUGGGGGAGGUGAUGAUGCUUUCAACACCUUCUUCAGCGAGACUGGUGCUGGGAAGCAUGUCCCCCGUGCUGUCUUUGUAGAUCUCGAGCCCACUGUGAUUGAUGAGGUGAGGACUGGUGCUUACCGCCAGCUCUUCCACCCUGAGCAGCUUAUCAGUGGCAAGGAGGAUGCAGCCAACAACUUCGCCCGUGGUCAUUACACCAGUAAGUGCUGUGCUUGUUCUUUGUUAUUAUGACAGUAUUCACUCUUGCUCCUUAUGUGGCUAACUUUUGCUGCUCCUAUUGCAGUUGGCAAGGAGAUUGUUGAUCUGUGCCUUGACCGUAUCAGGAAGCUUUCAGACAACUGCACUGGUCUCCAGGGAUUCCUUGUAUUCAACGCUGUUGGAGGUGGAACUGGCUCUGGCCUUGGCUCGCUUCUCCUGGAGCGCCUCUCUGUUGACUAUGGAAAGAAGUCCAAGCUUGGGUUCACGGUGUACCCAUCUCCCCAGGUCUCCACCUCUGUUGUUGAGCCAUACAACAGUGUCCUGUCCACCCACUCACUCCUUGAGCACACUGAUGUCUCUAUCCUUCUUGACAAUGAGGCCAUCUAUGACAUCUGCCGCCGCUCCCUUGACAUUGAGCGCCCAACAUACACCAACCUCAACAGGCUUGUUUCUCAGGUACAGUCUUGUUUCUGCAUGGUUACAUGUUUUCUGUUUGAUGUUUGUUUCAAGUUGCACUUCCUAAUAAUGUUUGACUGGGAUCUAAUUCAUUGGUUAAACAUCUAAUGUGCAGGUCAUUUCAUCACUGACAGCUUCCCUGAGGUUUGAUGGUGCUCUGAAUGUUGAUGUCAAUGAAUUCCAGACCAACUUGGUGCCCUACCCGAGGAUCCACUUCAUGCUUUCCUCCUAUGCCCCAGUGAUCUCAGCUGAGAAGGCUUACCAUGAGCAGCUGUCCGUUGCUGAGAUCACCAACAGCGCCUUUGAGCCUUCGUCCAUGAUGGCCAAGUGCGACCCCCGCCACGGCAAGUACAUGGCCUGCUGUCUCAUGUACCGUGGUGAUGUUGUGCCAAAGGACGUCAACGCUGCUGUGGCCACCAUCAAGACCAAGCGCACUAUUCAGUUUGUUGACUGGUGCCCCACUGGCUUCAAGUGUGGUAUCAACUACCAGCCACCAGGUGUCGUCCCAGGCGGUGACCUUGCCAAGGUCCAGAGGGCUGUGUGCAUGAUCUCCAACUCCACCAGUGUCGUCGAGGUCUUCUCCCGCAUCGACCACAAGUUUGACCUGAUGUACGCCAAGCGUGCCUUCGUCCACUGGUACGUCGGUGAGGGCAUGGAGGAGGGAGAGUUCUCUGAGGCCCGUGAGGAUCUCGCUGCCCUGGAGAAGGACUAUGAAGAAGUUGGUGCUGAGUUCGACGAGGGUGAGGACGGUGAUGAGGGCGAUGAGUAUUAAGCCUGCCUCCUGGUGCUUUCCCAAGGCUUGCUACUGCUAUCCUAUGAUCUGCCCGAGUGGCUUUAUCUGUUAUCUGUCUGUUUGAACGUUUGCUUUGUGGUGUUUGUUUUACAACCUGUUGUGUUGUAAGAACCUUGUAUCUUUGAACCUGCUUUGCACCUUGGUUAAUAUGCAUGCUAUCUGGUUAUCUACACCAUAGCCUCCAUUUUCCUGUUUUAUAAUUUGUAUUGUUUCAUUUGUUUUACUGUUGAACUCUGCCUAUUGUCUCAACAUAGCCGGUCUGAAGCCCGAGUGAAGGAGUAUGGUUGAGAGGCUUGGUGAGCCGUUGUUAAAACUCAGCCACUUUAUGCAGUUGAAACCCAAAAGCCCUAGCCGAACUUGUUAAACUCGGCCACUCUUAUGCAGAUUAAACCCAACAGAUCGCCUACCCCAAAUUAGUUGCAAUGUGUCUGCGUAAUGAUGAUCGAACCUAAUUUGAAAUGCUGUUGCUUCCAGUAAGUGCCACGCUUGUACAAACCUAGAGUUUGAACUGGAAUUGAGGAAAUGUUUGUCGUGUUGCCUAUUUUACAGGUGCCUGAAGUUUCUCCUAUAUCAUCACCGACCUAAUUUGAUCUUCAGGAUUAAAAGAUUCAGUAGUAGCCACAAGCUUAAAAAGAUUCAGUAGUAGCCACAAGCUUAAAAAGCAGCAAGUAUAAAUCACAGGCAAGAAAUAUACAAGACCUAUAUAGUUUUGCAAGUUCGUAAAUUGCUUGUUUUCUGAUCGACCAUAUCAGACUUAACUCAGAUCUGUACUCUAUUCUUUAGAUAGAUGGCAAGAGAAUAUGAUAUGCUGGUGAAGUAUGUCCAAAUAACAUGGUUCAGUGUUCAAGCACGAAGCCAGUCUCCAUCAGGGGGUGUAUCUGUAGAAGAUUUGCAUUAUCAGUUUGGGUCCCAAUAAUUUCUAUUAACACCAAGCAAUCCCCACACCGCUAGAGCUGCAGCUCCCACCGGCGUCAAACCCCCAAUUAUUGCCCCGGCGACGCGAGUUACGGCGGCCAGCGGAGUGCAGACGGGCGUACGGUGGCGUGCGCCCGUCGGGGAAGAGUCCCGUUGCUCCCCUGUCCAUGCUUCCCCACACGACACCACUCCCCGGCGCUGAGCAGGAACGCCGACCAGGCGGAGGACCUGCUGGAUGAGCUCCACUAUUUCCAGAUCCAUGACAGGCACCACGCCACCACCCAGGCCAAUUUUCUCCGUCAUGGCCGCAAUGCUCUCCGGCACACUGCCACUAGCUGGGCCGCGUGCUUUUCUUGUCCGUCUGCCCAAGAUCAUGAUGACAAGUUACGUUUCCACCCAGUGAUCUUCUCCAGGAAAAUCAAGUCGGUGUUACAGGACAUGCAGACCCACUGUGAUUCCAUCUCCGAUUUGCUUGGCAAUAUCCCAAGCAGCAGCAUGGCAGUCACCCUGCACCGGCCUCAGAUUGGAUCCACAAUUAUACAAGAUACAUUAUAUGGUAGGAGACACACUUUUGAGGAAACUGUCAACCGUGUCAUCAGCUGCGAAGAUACUGUUUCUGUUCUUCCUAUAGUUGGUCCGGGGGUAUUGGAAAAACAACUUUCACUCAACACCUCUAUAAUGAUGCAAGGCUGUAUAGUGAUACUGGGGGUGAAAAUUAUUUUGAAGUCAGGGUCUGGGUAUGUGUAUCGACUGAAUUCGAUGUGCUUAAGCUCACCAGGGAGAUCCUUGGCUGCAUACCUGAACAAGAAGGAAUCAACGGUGUUGCAAAUGAAACAACCAAUUUAGACCAGCUUCAGAAAUCCAUAGCACACCGUCUCAAGUCCAAAAGGUUUCUAAUUGUCUUGGAUGAUAUAUGGAAAUGUGACGGUCAGGAUCAGUGGAAGACCCUGCUAGCUCCGUUCACAAAGGGGGAAACCAAAGGAAGCAUGGUAAUUGUCACAACUCGAUUCCCAAAGGUAGCAGACAUGGUGAAAACACUUGAUCCACUAGAGCUGCGAGGUUUGGAGUCUAAUGACUUCUUCACAUUCUUUGAAGCAUGUAUAUUUGGUGAUCACAAGCCUGAGCAUUACGAAUAUGAGUUAGCUGAUAUUGCAGGAAAAAUUGCAAAUAAGCUAAAGGGUUCCCCACUAGCAGCCAAAACAGUUGGUGGACUAUUGCGCAAGGACCUAUCUCAGGAACAUUGGAAUGAAGUUCUUAAAAAACAUGAGUGGCUGAAGCAGCAAAAUAAUGAUGAGAUCAUGCCAUCUUUAAAAAUUAGCUACGAUUAGCUCCCUUCUGAGCAGAUAAGCUAAAGGUUCCCCAGUCGCCGCCGAACCCCCUCGCCGUCCAAGCCGACGGGAGGGGAUAUGGGCGACGCCCUCCCUCCCCUGGCCCCCUGAUACACUCCCACUCACCUCCCUCACUCCUCUCCAAUCCUCCCUCGUCCUCUCCGUCGAGGGGGAGAAGCCCCGAGCCCACUAUCGUUGCCCGCCGCCGUCCACCGCGGCGACCGCUCCCUUGUGCUCCUCCGGCUGGUCCAACACCUCUGUCGUCAUCCGCCGCUACUGCUACGUCAACUCGCCCGAGCCGAGGAGCCUCCCAACGCCGGAUCGCCCCGCCUUUCUCCCUCGGAUCGACGCCGGCGACCUCCUCCCACUCCGGUCGGCAUGCGGCUCCUAAACUGUCACUGGGCCUACGUGUGCCUCCUCGGUGAGCUCCGCGUGUUUCCCCUCUACCUCCCCUUCGCCUUGUUGCCUCUAGCUGCCCCUGCCACCAUGCCCGGAGCUCCGCUCCACCGACCAUGUCGCGCCCGCAGCUUCGGCCAUUGAAACCCGCGUCCGAGCGUGUCACCGAGUUCUUUGGGUCCCCAAGAACGCGUAGCGCUUGCUCUUUCACCGAGCCAUGUAGUGUAGCGUCAUCACCGUUCGCGCGUGCUUCGGCCGCCGCUCGGCCUUGCUGCUGUCACCGAUUCUGGCCGUGUCCGGUGCAGGCGCUUGCGUAGAUUGACGCGGCCCGGCGCGCUCAGCUCGCCCUGCUCCGUUUGCUCGCCUGUGCGGCGAUCCUGAGCGUCGCUGCCAUCUCGGGUGGUCGCCGAGACCACCAGCGGGCGUCCGGCGUCCAAAACCGACGAUGGGUCACUGCCAUGUGGGCCCCACUCGUCGGGGUUUAUAUUAGGGUGCUAACUGAGGGAGUCCUGGACUAAGGGGUCCUCGGGCGUCCGGCCUGUUAUCUGUUGGGCCGAACUGAUGGGCUAUGAAGACAUGAAGGCCGAAGACUAUACCCGUGUCUGGAUUGGACUCUACUUGGCGUGGAAGGCAAGCUAGGCGACCGAUUAUGAAGAUUUCCUCCUAUGUAAUCGACUCCAUGUAACCCCAGAUCUCUCCGGUGUCUAUAUAAACCGGAGGGCAUAGUCCGGAUAGGACAGAUUCAUUACCAUAUACUCAUAGGCUAGACUUCUAGGGUUUAGCCAUUACGAUCUCGUGGUAGAUCAACUCUUGUAACACUCAUAUUCAUCAAGAUCAAUCAAGCAGGAAGUAGGGUAUUACCUCCAUAGAGAGGGCCCGAACCUGGGUAAACAUUGUGUCCCCCGUCUCCUGUUACCAUCGAUCCUAGACGCACAGUUCGGGACGCCCUACCCGAGAUCCGCCGGUUUUGACACCGACAUUGGUGCUUCAUUGAGAGUUCCACUGUGCCGUUGACGAAAGGCUCGAUGGCCCCUUCAAUCGUUGGUAAUGGCGUCGUUCAGGGAGAAACCUUUCUCCCCGGACAAAUCUUUGUGUUCGGCGGCUUCGUACUACGGGCCAACUCGCUUGGCCAUUUGGAGCAGGUCGAUAGCUACGCCCCUGGCCAUCAGGUCAGUUUUGGAAGCUUGAACUACGUCGCGGAUAUCCGUGGAGACUUGAUCUUCGAUGGAUUUGGGACCGCGACGAUCGCUCUCCUUCUCUCCGAUGAACAUGACUCAAAUCUGUCAUCGGAGCACACCCAGGAGAUGGAUCCUGUUGCUGCAACGGCCUCAAUACCGAAGCAGGUCAUCCCCUCCGAGGCCAUAAAUUCCGCGGCGUUGGAGCCGCACACGGAUUCGACAUCCUGCAAUGCUGGCAUUAAUGGAACUCCGGACUCGCCUCCGGCUACAUGUUCCAGAUCAAGUGCGCCUGCGGACAUCGAGCUGGAUCGGUUAUCAAUUUUCGAAUUUAGCGCCGCAGACAUCUUUCAGCAUUCGCCUUUGGGUGACGUACUAAAUUCUUUGAAGAACUUGUCCUUGGAGGAAGACUCACAGCCGAACUAUGUUCGGUUCGAGCUAGAGGCGGACGACGAGGAAUUUUGCUACCCACCCGCCACCCACUUUAUAGCCACCGUCGACGACUUAACCGACGUGCUUGACCAUGGCUCCGAAGACAUCACCGGUAUGGACGACGAUGCUAAGGCCAAGACCCGCCAUUCACUGGACGUUGGACGGCCACCUCUUCGUACGACGUAUACAUGGUUGAUACACCCAAAGGAUCUGGCGACGACAAAGAAGAGCCAGAUAAUAAUAAACCUUCUGAGACGCAGUCCAAGCGCCGGCGCCCCAAACGCCGUUCUAAGCCUCACCGCUCAAAAGAUAGCAACACUGGUACCGGAGAAAAUAGUACUCCGGGCGACGCCGAAAACAAUGAAGACCCUGUCGGUGCUACAUCCGGACAGGAGGAACAUGACGACAGACAAGACAACCCUGAUGAGCAGGCCAUAGAAGAUGACUCGGGGGACGAUAGUUACCGUCCACCCUCCAAAGAGGAGACAAGCCUCGGCAACGAAGAUUUCAUCGUGCCUGAGGACCCUCUGGAGCAGGAGCGCUUUAAGCUUGAACUCAUAGCCACCGCAAGGAGCCUGAAAAAGAAACAGCAGCAACUUCAAGCUGAACAAGAUCUGCUCGUCGACAGAUGGACUGACGUCCUGACAGCGGAAGAAUACGACCUCAAGCACCCAGCCAAGAGCUACCCGAAAUGCAGACUGCUACCUCAAUUCGAUGAGGAGGCACCGGAGCACACAUCUCCCCCGCGUAAUGCGGAACGACCACGACGUGGUCGAGACAGGGUGGCCGACCGGCCACCAUGCGGUCGGGAUAAGCGGCAACUCAGGCUGAACAGCAGCCUGCCCAACCGCCCCGCAAAAAUAAAGACGGAAGAGUUCGGGGUCACACGUAUGACCUCCGGCAGACCCUGGACAGUAGAGUAGGACAUACAAGAUCGAUCUACGGAUCGCGAGAACGUGCCUCGAGGCACGAAGACGGCCACCUAUUCGGACGUGACAAACCUAACAAUGCCCGGUCCGAGCGCCGCAGCGACACAGCCUGGUAUAGAGGUGCCGCACACCCUCUCUGCUUCACAGACGAGGUACUGGAUCACGAAUUUUCUGAGGGAUUCAAGCCCGUCAAUAUCGAAUCAUACGACGGCACAACCGAUCCCGCAGUAUGGAUCGAGGAUUUCAUUCUCCAUAUUCAUAUGGCUCGAGGAGAUGACCUCCACGCCAUUAAAUACCUCCCACUCAAGCUCAAAGGGCCAACUCGGCACUGGCUUAACAGCCUGCCUGAAAAUUCUAUCGGCAGCUGGGAGGACUUGGAAGAAGCUUUCCUAGACAACUUCCAAGGAACCUAUGUCCGUCCACCAGAUGCCGAUGACUUAAGCCACAUAGUUCAACAACCCGGAGAAUCAGCCAGAAAAUUCUGGACUAGGUUCCUAACCAAAAAGAACCAGAUCGUCGACUAUCUGGAUGCCGAAGCCCUAGCGGCCUUUAAGCAUAGUAUCCGGGAUGAAUGGCUCGCCCGCCACCUCGGCCAAGAAAAACCGAGGUCGAUGGCAGCCCUGACGGCACUUAUGACCCGCUUUUGCGCGGGAGAAGAUAGUUGGCUGGCCCGCAGUACAAAUACGGCCAACGAAAUAAGUCCCUCCGAGGCCAAAAAUAGCGUCGGCAAGCUCCGGCGCAACAGAAACAAACGCCGAGGCAAUGGCGAUAACACCGAUGACACAACAGUUCACGCCGGAUUCAGUGGCUCUAAGUCCGGCCAACGAAAGAAGCCCUAUAAAAGGAGCAGCGGAAAACCAUCCAGCUUGGACCGCAUACUCGAUCGUCCUUGCCAAAUACAUGGUACCCCAGACAAACCAGCCAACCAUACUAACAGGGAUUGACGGGUCUUCAAACAAGCCAGCAAAGUAAAUAACAGAAGCAAAGAAGGGGAAUCACAGAGCGAAGACGACGACGAAGAGCCCCGGCAGCCGAACACUGGGGGGCAGAAGAAAUUCUCCCCCAAAUCAAAAUGGUGAACAUGAUAUACGCUACACACAUCCCCAAAAGGGAGCACAAGCGAGCACUCAGGGACGUCUACCCGAAGUUCAAUCCGCGGUCAUCAUUCCCGAUCACCCCCGCUCGAUGAGACCACCCAACUAGCAUCUGGCAUGGCGGUUCAGCCGCACUGGUCCUCGAUCCAAUCAUCGACGGAUUUCACCUGACUCGAGUCCUAAUGGACGGCGGUAGCAGUCUCAACCUGCUCUAUCAGGACACAGUACGUAAAAUGAGCAUUGACCCUUCACGAGUCAAGCCCACGAAGACUACCUUUAAAGGAGUCAUACCAGGUGUAGAGGCCCGUUGUACGGGCUCAAUAACGCUGGAAGUAGUAUUCGGUUCCCCGGAUAACUUCCGAAGCGAAGAGCUAACCUUCAAUAUCGUCCCAUUUCGCAGCGGCUAUCACGCACUGCUCGGACGAACCGUAUUCGCUAGAUUCAACGUGGUGCCACAUUAUGCUUAUCUCAAGCUCAAGAUGCCCGGUCCACGUGGCGUCAUUACAGUAAAUGGAAACACGGAACGCUCCCUCCGUACAAAGGAGCACACUAUCGCCCUAGCAGCAGAAGUACAGCGUGGCCUUCUCAAGCAGCACUACAAUCCGGUUGCCGAGCCCCUGGACACCAUUAAGAGGGUCCGGACUAUACCGCAGCAGGACAACCCGGCUCGUCAAAGGGCCAAACUAGCAAAAUUCGGCCUCCGUCCAAGCCCAGACGAGGCAAUGGUAUUAGUACCGCGAGCACAUAAGCUACGCACUCAUGGGUACUGACGGAGGCAAAACUCGCUCGCAAUCCACAGUAUGGCUUGAUAGACCAUGGGAUUCGCAUGCUUCUGCUUUUUCUUUGUACAUGUCUUCUUCUCUUUUCAAGGGCUAUACGGACGACCUGCCUGCAGAACACUCCAAGGAAGCAAGGAGCUCCGGCGUACACAAGAACCCCCAGGUGGUUUCUAAUAAACGAUUCAUCUACUUGUUUUACAUACCCGCAUGCAGCUCGCCCUUGGUUACGGCAUUUUCAAUAGCCUUACUUGCUUAUCACAUUACUGGUACAAAGUACGCCUUGACGUACCGAUUACAUAACAACGGUGAAUAAAUAGUGGCGUCCGCUCACUCACCUCAGUAUUUAUUACUCACUGCACACGUACACCAUGGUACGCACUAAUACGCCAGGGGCUUAAGUACACCCCACAUCACGGCAAUAAAAGUCCGAACACUUUUACAGUACAGUUCGGCACCCCGAACUUAUAGCAUUAUAUGCAUCGGCUCCGAAUCAUGUCUUUGGUCAAUAGUUGGGUUGCCCGGCUCCUGUGCUUACUACGUUCCGCUAUAUCGGCUAGGGCAGUAAAGGGAGAACUACUGCGAUUGUGUCCCGGUUCUUCCGGACGAGCACCUCAGUAGAGAAAGCCAAAAACUGACAGUCAUGAUGCGGCGAGAGCCGGUCAGCUGUUCGCGAGGUUCUAAAUUGUUGGAGAUUUUUCCCGCUUCUUGCGAAGAAUCGGUUCUUUCAAUUAGGCGUGUAUAGCGCCCCUAAUUCGGCCUUUCGAACACCAGGGGCUUCGCCGACUUUAUUAAUUGUCAAACUCCUAUGGCUAAGUGGGGGCGGUAAAGGCCGCAUAGUCUGAUUGCCUUGUUCGCUGCGCUAAACACCUCCUUUAAGGACCAUAAUGUGGAGUAAAGAGUGUUUAGAUUUAUCCCGAACACCCCCGUACUAUCUACGUGGGGGCAGAAGCCAACGACUGGUCAUCCCUCAGAUUUAACAAACGGCCGCACAUGAGGUAAAAUUUAAAAAUCACAUACAUUAUACUACAUAACAUCCUUGUUCCAUAUUACAGGGCAAGAUAAUACACAUGUUCUUACGGGAAUAUAAUAUCCUUCGAACAUUUCUCCGCCGCAAGGCGGGACCCCUCCAGGACACCAUCAAAAUAAUGCUCGGGUCAACGAUGCUCCUUGCCCUCUGGCGGUCCCUCGGUCAUCAGCUUCUUGGCAUCCAACUUCGCCCAAUGCGUCUCGACGUGGGCAAAGGCCAUGCGCGCACCUUCAAUGCAGACCGACCGCUUUACGGCUUCGAGCCGCGGACAGGUUCUCACAAGCCGCUGCACAAGUCCGAAGUAGCUGCCAGGCAUUGGAUCGGCAGGCCACAACCGGACUAUAAAGUCCCUCAUGGCUAGCUCCGCCAACCUGUGCAGCUCGACCAACUGCUUUAGCUGGUCGCUGAAGGGCACCGGAUGUUCGGAUCCCAGAUAUUGGGACCAGAACAGUUCUCCGUAGACAUCCCUUCCUCGGCUCUAUAAUGCUCGGUCGCAUCCGACGCACUGUGCGGCAGACCUGCAAAUGCCCCUGGAAAACCAAAAUUAAGGAUAAGUACAAGGGACGUUGCUUCUACACGCCCACUCUGCAUGGUGAAGAACUUACCCGCCGCAAUCUUCUUGGCCAUCUCGACUUCCUGGAGGGCGCACUGGGCUUCGGCUCGCGCAUCCUGAGCACUCUGGCGAGCCUUCAUCAAUUCGGACUCUUGCGCCUUACAAUCGCGCUCCAGGGCCUCAAAUCUCUCUAUCGCGCCCUGGAGCUGUCGCUGCACCUCGCCAACCCGGGCCUCGUGCUUUUCGCGCAAAACACGCUCUUUGGCCGCUUUGUCCUCGGCCUCGGCUAGCACCUUCUUCAGGGUUGCCACCUCGACCGUGGCCCCUAAUAAAGUUUACGACGUUUUAGACAAGUCGGACUACUCAUUUUUUUUCAAAAUGUACCUACAGGUUAUUGCAUACCUUGGCUGUCCUCCAACUGCUUCUUCACAUGGUCGAGCUCCUCCUCGGCCCGCUCUAGUUUCUUCUUUAGUCCUGAGACCUCCGCAGCAUGAGCAGUGGCAGCUUGUAGGGAUACCUGCAUAUUCACAUAGACAACUCACGUUAGACUCCUGCAAUUUUUUGAUCCUCUGUUCGGCCUUUUCUUCCCGAACACCAAACAGAGUAUCAGGGGCUACUGUCUACACUGUGAUACUUUUCCUACAAUCACAUUACUUACCUCAAAGCCUAUUAGAAGGCUAGUGCAGGCUUCGGUCAGUCCGCUUUUAACGAACUGAACCUUCUCUACUACCGUGUCCAUAAGGACACGAUGUUCAUCCACGAUAGAGGCGCCUCAUAGCGCCUCCAGCAGAUUGUCCGGUGCCUCUGGCUGGACAGAGGUCACCGGUGGAACAGGCACACUCCCUCCUAGCGGGGAGUGCCGUUCGCUGGACCCCGGAGCCGUGUACAUCUCCGGAAGGGUAUCCAGCUGAGGGCCGAAGGAAACUCGGGCCCCAUCACCAGUCCCCAUGGGGGCUUUUUCCCCCAUGUGCCCGGCGUCCGAGGAGUCGUCCUGGGGCGUCACCCCGAUGAUCUCCGGAACCUCCCCCCGGCCUGGGAAAGUCUUUUUGGACACCACCUCGUCAUCACCCUUGGGUGAGAGGGAAUGAGCAGGUGGCGGAGACAUGCUAGCCAUCUCCUCCGUGUUUAGCGAAUCCUCAGUCGAGGAUCGCGGAGAGCCAUCGCGUGCCGGACUGCAAGGACAAAAUUUACAAUAUGUCAAUAUCACAAACCAGAAAGGCCAGAUAUUUGCAAACUCUGAUGCUUACGAAGCGGCCCGAGGCUUGGUCCGGCAAGGCCGUUCCGGACUGCUGUCGACAUCCCAUGCGGAAUUAUCCGCGAGGGAGCCUCUAACCCUCUUAGGCGUUUUAUCCUCUGGGCUUGCGGGGGCCGCUCUCUUCUUCCUCCCCGCCUCAGGUGGGGAGUCGUUUUCUUCUUCCUCUUCAUCGUCGUCGUCAGAGGACGAAGAGGAAGUCUCGCUUCCGGACGUCUCGUCCGGAAUGCUUCUCCGGCGAAGGCCCUUCUGGGCCCCUUGGGCCGCCUUUUUAGCCGUCUUCUCCGACACCUCAUAAGGUGCAGGGAACAACAUCUUCUCCAAUAAUAGAAAUUCCUAGUCCCCGGGUAGCGGAGCUGGACAGUUAAUCUUCUCGGCCAGCUUAAUCCAGGCCUGAAAAUAGGGGAAGGAAGCUUAAAUCUCCCCUCAAAAUAUGCUAGUAGGGGAUACUCCUUGAAAACAUUAAAGGAACUGACCGGGUUGGGCUGGCGCUUUAAGCUAAGCCCGCGGUCUUCGGUCACAGGUGGUGGCGUUUCGCCGGUCUUGAAGAGCACCUUCCAGAUUUCUUCGUGCGUCAUGCCGAAGAGCUCCAGUAGCGUCUGGUGCUUGGCCGGCUCGAACUCCCACAAAUUACAAGUUCGGCGUUAGCACGGAAGGACCCGACGAACAAGCAUGACCUGGACUACGUUGAGAAGCUUGAUCUUAUUUUCUAUCAUGUUCUGGAUGCACGAUUGGAGCCCAGUCAGCUCGACCGAGGGACCCCAGGUUAGGCCCCUCUCUUGCCAGGAGGUGAGCAGCAUCGGGAUUCCGGAUCGGAAUUCGGGGGCCGCCAACCAGUCAGCGUUGCGUGGCUCGGUGAGUAGAACCACCCCGAUUGCCACCCCUUCACCGUCUCUGCAAACAAACCUUCAGGCCAGGUAACAUUGGGCAUCUUGCCCACCAUAGCGCCUCCGCACUCUGCUUGUCGACCGCGCACUACUUUCGGCCUCACAUUAAAGGUCUUCAGCCAUAAGCCGAAGUGAGGCGGGAUGCGGAGAAAGGCCUCACAAACGACGAUAAACGCCGAAAUGUUGAGGAUGAAGUUGGGGGCUAGGUCAUGGAAAUCCAGCCCAUAGUAAAACAUCAACCCGCGGACGAAUGGGUGAAGAGGGAACCCAAGCCCGCAGAUGAAGUGUGCUAGAAACACAACCCUCUCAUGGGGCUCGGGAGUGGGGACGACUUGUCCCUUGGCCGGGAGUCGAUGAACGAUCUCUUUGGCCAGAUACCCGGCCUCCCGGAGCUCCUUGAUAUCCUUCUUCUUGACGGAGGAGGCCAUCCACUUGCUUCCAGCUCCGGAUCCGGACAUCUUUGGAGUACUUUCUCGAGCAAGGGAAAAGCUAAAAGCUUGGGCACUAGAGCUCGAAGAUGGAAGGGCUGAGGGCGUGGGUGAAUGAGAGGAAUCCUUACCUCCUUAUAGAGGCCGCGAAUACCAAGCGCCUCCCCGCUCGCCUUGAACUCGCCUAUUCCCAAGGGCCGUGCAAACGGCGCGGUUAGGUUAGCCAUGCCUACAUUGAUGAGAAUCCCGCAAUAGGGGGGCACGACCUUUGCAUCGACAAGACGUGCCAAUAGCAACCGCGUUUUGAAACAUGGGAUGGCGAAAAAAACGGUUUGAGAUUAUGGCCAGAUAGACAUAAUGUCGUGUUGUAAAAAGCUGUCAGCAGAUGGGACUUGUGUAAACAUAUGUAUAUAUUCUCUCUGCGAUUGUGCAUGGUGUGUAACAGGUCCGGACACAAUCAUCACAUCCGAAGACUAUCUUGGAGUUCGGAAAAGGGGGAACCCGCCUUGCAAUGCCGAAGACAAUCUGCGCGCCGGACUCCUCGUCAUUGAAGCCAGGUUCAGGGGCUACUGAGGGAGUCCUGGUCUAAGGGGUCCUCGGGCGUCCGGCCUGUCAUCUAUUGGGCCGGACUGAUGGGCUAUGAAGACAUGAAGGCCGAAGACUAUACCCGUGUCCGGAUUGGACUCUACUUGGUGUGGAAGGCAAGCUAGGCGAUCGAUUAUGAAGAUUUCCUCCUAUGUAACCGACUCCAUGUAACCCUAGAUCUCUCCAGUGUCUAUAUAAACCGGAGGGCAUAGUCCGGAUAGGACAGAUUCAUUACCAUAUACUCAUAGGCUAGACUUCUAGGGUUUAGCCAUUACGAUCUCGUGGUAGAUCAACUCUUGUAACACUCAUAUUCAUCAAGAUCAAUCAAGCAGGAAGUAGGGUAUUACCUCCAUAGAGAGGGCCCGAACCUGGGUAAACAUUGUGUCCCCCGUCUCCUGUUACCAUCGAUCCUAGACGCACAGUUCGGGACGCCCUACCCGAGAUCCGCCGGUUUUGACAGCGACACUAACCCCUGCCUAACACUAACCCACUCCGUUAACCGCUCACUAAUCCGUGGGCCCACGGCCACUAAUUUAACUCGAGACAAUAUUUCAAUUUAACUAAACCCCCUGUUAAAAUAUGUAUCGCUUACACACGGGCCCCACUGGUUAGUAUUGACCAGUCAACGAUCCUGUUGACUGGACCUGCUGACUCAGAGGCCCCACCAGUCAGCCUCUACUGACUAGGCAGUUGACCCAAUUAACUGGGCCCACUGGUCAGCCUCUCUGCGGGUCAGUUGGGUAUAGUUCUGGGUACACAUAGCAAUUACUGAAUAAACUUCUAAUUAAUAAUAUUUCAGGAAAUUCCAGAAUAUGUUUAAAUCUUUGAAAAAUCAUAUAAAUUAAUCCAUAAGUCAUAUGAAAAUAAUUUAUAUAUGAAAAUUGCUUAGAAAAAUACAACAAAUCUGAAUAUGCAAUCUGUUCAUCUGUCACAUGCCUCUAGCAUGAUGAACAUGGAACCGUCCCCUCUCUUUCAUCUGUCCGGAAAAUGCAAAGCGCCGGGAAAACCCCUCUGGAUGUUUUCCCUCUCCGUCUCCAAUGUGUAGUACUACGUUAGGUCACCCUAGUACUACGUCAGGUCACCCUUGCUUUAUAUUUAUUGUUUCUUCCCCCUCUUCUCUCCGGUAGACACCGAGACCGACGCUGCUGCCGGGUACGACUACGCCCUUGACGUCUAGCCACUUGCAGCAGAGCUUCCAGGCAAGCAAACCCCCCUUGAUCAUUCCCAUAUCGCCCAUUCCAUUCUCUCUUAUGCUUGCAUUCGAUUUUGCUACUAUACUUGAUUGCUCCUAUUCUGAUGCAUAGCCUGCUUUUGUAACCACAUUUGUACCUUACCUGCUAAUCCCAAAUGCUUAGUAUAGGUCGGUUAGUGAUCCAUCAGUGACCCCUCACCUUGUCCCUGUUGCCCCCGCCGUAUUACCAGAUGACACGAUCAACGUGAUCGACGUUCAGGGCCCGACACAUCACCUCACCCCCUUUAGUUGUAUGAUUCUCCCAACACAUCACCUCACCCCCUUUAGUUGUACGACUCUGUAGAGCUAUCGAGUGCCAAGGGUGAUACCUCGUAACGCACUCCAGAUGAUAACUAUGUAGUGUAGCUAAUCGGCCAUGGUCUGUCGAGGGUGAUUCCUCCUUUACCACUCCCGAUACGGCUCUGUCGUGCAACACAUCAAGUGUCAGCCUCGAGGGUGAUUCCUCCUUAGUUCAUCUUGACGGUUACAUCAAAUGGAAUCCAUCGAGGGUGAUUCCUCGGAUUCCUCUUUGGUGCAUGGACACACGGUUACAUGGACUUUACCAUAGAACCAUAUUAAAGAUGGGUCGGCGCAAAGGGGUACCCGCGAGUGAUGUGAAGUCGGGUUGACUUGGAGGGUACCCGCAAGGUAAUUACUAGGCACAGCCGGGUAAGGCAGACCGCCCUGGAGUGGGCUGGGCCUGGCCCUUGUCGUAAGUGCUCAAGACGGGGCAACAGGGGCACUGAUCGUCACCGCGUGCUCCCAAGACACUAACGGUUUGGGUAUUUGAUCUGAGUUGGUCAUUGACCUAUACGCACUAACCGCCACACGGGAACAGUUAUGGGCACUCGGCGCCGUAUGUAUCAGCCGAAGCUCUCCAGAUGUCAGCGGAUGAGCGGCACGCGCUCGGGUGGUCCGCGUAAGCACCUACCUUGUAUAAGGAGGUUGCGAGGACUGAUUCCGGUUGCAUUCGCAAUGUGCAAGAGUGCAACGGGCGAUGGGCCCAAGACCCCUGCGCGCUUAGGAUGUAGAUCGGUAUGCUGGCCUCUCUGUUGAGCCUAGGUAGGGCUACGGCGUGUUGAUCUUCCGAGGCCGGGCAUGACCCUGGAAAGUGUGUCCGGUCAGAGUGAUCGAGUGUGUUGGGUAAUGUGGUGCACGGUAACAGGACGACUCGAAGUUGUGUCCCGAUCUUAAGCCUCGAAAAUGGAUGGCGCUGAAGCGCGCGACCCACACCCGGCCAUCUGGGCGAGCGCCAUGCCCCGAUGAGUAGGAGGGCGUGGCGGCCGCUGCAAAACCCGGGGCGCGAGCCCGGGCGGAGCGGCCGUCGGUGCAGAUCUUGGUGGUAGUAGCAAAUAGAACUGGAUACUGAGAUGUGAAAUGGAUAUGAUGGCUCCAGGAUUGCUUUCUCGCCGGGAGUCGAGAAGGAUCUUUGGGCGCCAAUUCUACAACAUGCAUGCUACUUAUAAUAUGCUAUUCUAUAUUCUUCUAAAUGCAGCAAGAUGCUUGAAGAUGCUAGUCUUUGAUAGGCCAGGCUUUCCCUUCUCUUCUGACAUCUUGUAGUUUAGUCCAAAGAUAUAGCCCCAUUCCUUUGAUACCAAUGCAUACUUAGCAUAGUUCUGAUGUAAGUCUUGCGAGUACUUUGGAUGAGUACUCACGAUUGCUUUGCUACCUCUUUCCCCUAUACCCGAUUCUUGCGAUCAGAUGGCGGAUCCCAGGAACCAACUUCUACCGCCGACGACUACUACUACUACCCCGAGGUACCUACUACUACGUGGAGUCCGCCGAUGACCAGGAGUAGUUAGGAGGCUCCCAGGUAGGAGGCCUUGCCUUUUCGAUCGUUUCUAUUGUUUGUGUUAGCCUUUUUAAGGCAAACUUGUUUACUUUAUGUUUGUACUCAGACAUUGUUGCUUCCGCUGACUUGUUUGUAUUCGAGCCCUCGAGGCCCUUGGCUUAUAAUAUAAAGCUUGUAUGACUUUAUUUUGUGUCUAGAGUUGUGUUGUGAUAUCUUCCCGCGAGUCCCUGAUCUUGAUCAUACACAUUUGCGUGUACAAUUAGUGUACGAUUUAAUCGAGGGCGUCACAGACCGAAUGAUAUAAAAAUAAUAAUAGUGCAAGAGUGUCGUGCACUAAGCUGGAAUCUGCAAAUAUUUUAUUCAAAUGAGAAGACAAAGUAAUAUGGGCUCUUUGUCAGAUCAACAAUAAUGCAUAUAGAGCCACUAAACAUUUUCAUCAUGGUCUUCUCCUCACAAUGACUCAACAAAAGAAAAGAAUUUCAAAGAAACACACUGAAAUAUUUUUGGAGUUAACGAGGGAAAAACAAAAAGAGAAAACUAUUUACACGGGAGUAACAAGUAAAAUAAGAAAUGGGAAAUCUUUUUGGGUUUUCUUUUAAUACUACAACUAAUUAAACUAGAAAGAAAAACCAAAAAGAAGUGAGAACUAUUUUUGGAUUUUCUCAAAGUUUUUCAAACACACAAGAAGAAAGCGUGAAAAUAAAACUAAUAUGGAUUAUACAAUGAAAAAGGAUGAACACCGACAACUGGAAUGAAAUGUGUGAACAUGAAUGUAAUGUCGGUGGGAAAUACGUACUCCCCCAAGCUUAGGCUUUCGCCUAACUUGAUAGUCACCAUCCGUAGUAGCCAUCUGGUCCCAUGUGAAAGUGUUGAGAAGGAGGCACCUGAGUGUCCCAAUCUUGGGGCUCCUCCUCUGCCGCUGCCAAUGCGGUCCGGUAGGCUCGCAGGAUGGUGUAUCCAUUCCUAGCAUGAGAAUCCAACAAAGCAGGUGCGGACAAUGGAAUAAUAUCACGAGUUUCCUCGCUAAAAACCAAGUUAUAACGAAUGUGGUAUAGAAGCACAUGAGCAUCUAUAAAGUGAUGGUUCUCCAUCGACUGGUGAUCUAGAUAAACUCUAGGCAACAAGUAAUCAUGGGGGCGUAUCUGAACAUUAAAACGUCUCGCUAGGCGAGUAACAUAAAUGACACAACGAAUUUUGCCCUUCAUCCUGUUAGUGUGUAGGCGGCUUGCAACGACAGCGCCAAUGCUAUAAGUGUUAUCAUUGUGAAGUGCGUGACAUAAAAUGGCGAGGUCGGGGGCACAUAGUGCGCUAUCUUGCUCUCUAGAAGUCAAGCAUUUCCCUAUGAAUAAAGUAAAGUAGUGCACAAUAGGAAACUGCAAGCUAGUGGCUCGGGCGUGAGACACACCCCUUUCCUCACCCAAAGUUAAAGUGAGGAGGAAGCCCUCAAACUCCUCCAGUCGAGGCUCUUGAAUUUCCCCAUCAGAGGGAAUCAAGCAUAUCUCACAAAAUUCAGUAAGCGGUAUCUGGUGAUGCUCAGUGUAUAAGUCAAAGCGCACCUUAGGGGGUUUGAGCCUAUUCAAGAAAUGAAAGUUUUGCACAAAAGAAUUUGUAAGGAUGUGGUGUUGGUCACGCUCAUCUGCGAGGAAGUCAGUAAGUCUAGCAUUUGCAACGAAUUGCGUGAACUCUUGGUAGAAUCCAGCUUCGUUCAUGAAGGCAAUGUGUGGCCAUUCGCACGGCCGGACCUCCGUCCUACACGGGAUGUUGAUGUCAUUGUCUGAGGAUUCCCCAAGGACUCCCUUGGUAUUCCGCUUCGAGGAACUCCUCUGGAAGAUAUUCAUUUCUCCUACAAACAAAUUUCUGAUUUUUUUGGGCCACAAAAUGAUGUCAACAAAACUUCACAAGAUUGAUAGCAACUACUCAUAUGGAUGUCUAGAGGCUAUAUCAAGCAUUCAAACUACUUGGAACUCAAAGGAUUCAACAUACAAGCUCAUUUUCGGUAGCACCAAGAGCAGCUAACUAUGCAAAAUAUAAUCCACAAAAACAAAAACUAAUUGGAGCAAUGGAGGAGUUACAUACUAAGUAGCAAUCCCCCAAAACAGUUUCGGAAAUGGAGCCCCGAGCAAAGAGAUCGGAAAUCUCAGCUUUGGGAGAAAGAACACGCGAGAGAGAGAGAGCUACCAGGAAUUUUUGCUAGAGGUAAGAGACGAAGUGGGCUGAAGGAAUAAGUGAGGGGUCCCUAUGGGACCCACAAGCCACCUAGGCGCGCCCAGAGGAUGGGCGUGCCCUGGUGCCUCGUGGGCACCUGGGACACCCCCCUGGGAUGUUCUCAAUCCCAAAAAUUCUUAAAUAUUCAGUAAAAUACAUGUAAAAAUUUCAGGUCAUUUUGAGCACUUUCAUUUUUGGGCACUUUUUAUUGAACAUAAUUCAGAAAAGAGGAUAAUCAUGGCAUUUUAUUGCAUUUAACUACAAAUAACAAAAAACAUAAAGUGAGUACUGAUACGUCUCCAACGUAUCUAUAAUUUUUGAUUGUUCCAUGCUAUUAUAUUAUCUGUUUUGGAUGUUUAAUGGGCUUUAAUAUACCUUUUUAUAUUAUUUUUGGGACUAACCUAUUAACCGAAGGCCCAGUGCAAAUUGCUAUUUUUUUGCCUAUUUCAGUGUUUCGCAGAAAAGGAAUAUCAAACGGAGUCCAAACGGAAUGAAACCUUUGGGAGAGUUAUUUUUGGAACAAACGCAAUCCAGGAGACUUGGAGUUGACGUCAAGGAAGCAACGAGGCAGGGAGGUGCGCCCCCACCCUCGUGGGCCCCUCGUGGCUCCACCGACCUACUUCUUUCGCCUAUAUAUACUCAUAGACCCCGAAAACAUCCGAGAGCACCACGAAACCCUAUUUCCACCGCCACAACCUUUUGUACCCGUGAGAUCCCAUCUUGGGGCCUUUUCCGGCGCUCCGCCAAAGGGGGAAUCGAUCACGGAGGGCUUCUACAUCAACACCAUAGCCUCUCCGAUGAUGUGUGAGUAGUUUACCACAGACCUUCGGGUCCAUAGUUAUUUUCUAGAUGACUUCUUCUCUCUCUUUGGAUCUCAAUACAAAGUUCUCCUCGAUUCUCUUGGAGAUCUAUUUGAUGUAAUUCUUUUUGUGGUGUGUUUGUCGAGAUCCAAUGAAUUGUGGGUUUAUGAUCAAGAUUAUCUAUGAACAAUAUUUGAUUCUUCUCUAAAUUCUUUUAUGCAUGAUUUAAUAUCUUUGCAAGUCUCUUCGAAUUAUCAGUUUGGUUUGGCCUACUAGAUUGAUCUUUCUUGCCAUGGGAGAAGUGCUUAGCUUUGGGUUCAAUCUUGCCGUGUCCUUUCCCAGUGACAGCAGGGGCAGCAAGGCACGCAUUGUAUUGUUGCCAUUGAGGAUAAAAAGAUGGGGUUUAUAUCAUAUUGCUUGAGUUUAUCCCUCUACAUCAUGUCAUCUUGCCUAAUGCGUUACUCUGUUCUUAUGAACUUAAUACUCUAGAUGCAUGCUAGAUAGCGGUCGAUGUGUGGAGUAAUAGUAGUAGAUGCAGAAUCGUUUCGGCCUACUUGUCACGGACGUGAUGCCUAUAUACAUGAUCAUGCCUAGAUAUUCUCAUAACUAUGCGCUUUUCUAUCAAUUGCUCAACAGUAAUUUGUUCACCCACCGUAGAAUUUGCUAUCUUGAGAGAAGCCACUAGUGAAACCUAUGGACCCCGGGUCUAUCUUCCAUCAUAUUAAUCUCCCGUCAACUUGCUAUUUCUGCCGCCUUUUAUUUUGCAAUCUUUACUUUCCAAUCUAUAUCAUAAAAAUACCAAAAAUAUUUAUCUUAUUAUCUCUAUUAGAUCUCACUUUUGCAAGUGGCCGUGAAGGGAUUGACAACCCCUUUAUCGCGUUGGUUGCAAGGUUCUUAUUUGUUUGUGCAGGUACGAGGGACUUGCGUGUAGUCUCCUACUGGAUUGAUACCUUGGUUCUCAAAAACUGAGGGAAAUACUUACGCUACUUUGCUGCAUCACCCUUUCCUCUUCAAGGGAAAACCAACGCAUGCUCAAGAGGUAGCAAGUACAGAAGGUUGUGCCUACUAAAUUCAUCGACCACAUGCCUCUAAAAUAGAAUCCAUUAAUAAUUAAGCUUGAUCAAGUCUUAUUAACAAACAAUUUCUGAUUAGCAUGAAACCGAAGAAUCUUCGUAAAACACUAAGUUACCUCAACGGGGAUAUGCAUCUCCCCAAUUAUAAGUGUUUCAUAUUUCUUUUUGACAGUAGGAAGAGGAAUUUGAAAACUUCCAAUAGUAAUUUUCGGAGUCUUUUCAAUAAAAUGAAUACCAUUUACUUGAAAUUGUUUCUUCGAGAAGUGCACCGUAUGUUCAUUACCAUUGAUAUGAAAAGUAAGCUUGCUUUUGUUGCAAUCAAUAACAGCCCUGCAGUAUUCAAAAAGAGUCUACCGAGGAUAAUCGACAUGUUGUCGUCCUCGGGCAUAUCAAGUAUAACAAAGUCUGUUAAGAUAGUAACAUUUGCAACUACAACGGGCACAUCCUGACAAACACCGAUAGGUAUGGCAGUUGAUUUGCCAGCCAUUUGCAAUGAUAUUUCAGUGGGAGUCAGUUUAUUCAAAUCAAGUCUUUUAUAUAAAUAGAAAGGCAUAACACUAACACCAGCUCCUAAAUCACAGAAAGCAGUUUUGACAUAAUUUCUUUUAAUGGAGCAAGUUAUAGUUGGUAUUCCUGGAUCUCCUAGUUUCUUAGGUACUCCAUCCUUAAAAUAAUAGUUUGCAAGCAUGGUGGAGAUUUUAGCUUCAGGUAAUUUUCUUUUAUUAGUGACAAUAUAUUUCAUGUAUUUAGCAUAAGGGGCCAUCUUUAAAAUAUCAGUCAAAUGAGUACGCAAAAAGAUCGGCUUAAGCAUUUCAGCAUAGCGUUCAAAUUCUUCCUCAUCCUUAUUAUUAGAUGGUUUAGGUGGAAAGGGCAUGGGUUUCUGAACCCCUGUUUCUCUUUCUUUACCAUGUUUUCUAGCAACAAAAUCUCUCUUCUCAUAACAUUUGUUUCUAGUAGGUGGGUUAUCAAGAUCAAUAGUAGGCUCUAUUUCAACAUCAUUGUCUGGUUGAGCAUCUACAUGAACAUCAUCAUUGUCAUUAUCUUUAUCACUAGGCGAAUGUUCAUUACUAGAUUGAGUUUCAGCAUCGGAAAUAGAAACAUCAUUAUUUUCCUUAGAAGGUUUUUCUAUCUCAGGUUCCCUAGAAGUAUGCAAAGUCCUAUCAUUUUUCUUUUUCUUUAUAGACAAACUAGGUGCAUUUCAGGAUAAAGUGGCUCCCGAGUCAUUCUACCUCCUCUAGUCAUUACUCUAACAUCAUGAUCAUUCACAUUAUUAUUCAUUUCACUGAGCAACUCAUUUUGAGAUUUAGCAACUUGUUCUAACUGAGUUUGAACCAUAGAAGCAUAUUUACCUACACCUUUGACAUCAUUAACAAUUGUAACAACAAGUCUCUCAAGCGAUCAAUCAUGUAGGCAUUUUGUUUUAAUUGUUUCAUAACAUGUGCAUUGACUAGGAGAUUUAUUAUAGGGGAUAUCACCUUCAUCAAACUUUAUAAGAGAAUUUACCUCUACCACCUGUGGUGGUGUGUCAAGACCAUGUAUUUCUUCAAUAGGUGGUAAAUUCUUAACAUCUUUAGCUUUAAUACAUUUUUCCUUCAUACAUUUCUUUGCUUCUUGCAUAUCUUCAUGACCGAGAAAUAAAAUACCCCUCUUCUUCGGAGUGGGUUUAGGCGGUGGUUCAGGAAGAGUCCAAUGAUACGUGUCCAACGUAUCUAUAAUUUAUGAAGUAUUCAUGCCAUGUUUACAACAAUUCUAUAUGAUUCUGGUAUGAUUUGAUUAGAACAAACCCGGACUGACGUUGUUUUCAGCAGAACUACCGUGGUGUCAUUUUUUGUGCAGAAAUAAAAGUUCUCGGAACGAGCUGAAAAUUUACGUAGAAUAUUUUUGGAAAAUAUAAAAAUACUGGAACGAAAAGAUAUCGUUGAGGAGUCCCGAGGCAACCACAAGGGUGGAGGGCGCGCCCCUGCCUUGUCAUCGCCUCGUGGGCCCCCUUGACUUGUCCCCGAUGCCAACACCUCCUAUAAAUCCCAAAACCUUCAGAAAUAAACCUAGAUCGGGAGUUCCGCCGCCGCAAGCCUCUGUAGCCACGAAAAACCAAUCGGGAGCCUAUUCCGGCACCCUGUCCCGACGCUCUCCAUGACGAUGAGGGAGUAGUUCACCCUCGGGGCUGAGGGUAUGUACCAGUAGCUAUGUGUUUGAUCUCUCUCUCUCUCUCUCUCGCGUUCUUGCUAUGGCACGAUCUUGAUGUACCGCGAGCUUUGUUAUUAUAGUUGGAUCAUAUGGUGUUUCUCCCCCUCGACCUUCUUGUGAUGAAUUGAGUUUUACCUUUGAGGUUUCACUAUUGUCGGACUGAAUACUAUUAUGGAUUUGAGAGCACUUGAUGUAUGUCUUGUGUGGGAUACCCGUGGUGACAAUGGGGUGUUCUAUUGAUUCACUUGAUGUAUGUUUUGGCACUCAACUCGCCGAUUCCCGAGGUGACAUUGGGGUAAUCUAUGCAUAGGGGUUGAUGCACGUUUUCGUCCUUGUUUCUCCGGUAGGAAUCUUGGGGCACUCUUUGAGGUUCUUUAUGUUGGAUUGAAUAUUAUGAAUCUGAAGUUGUUUGAUGCAUAUCGUAUAAUUGACCCACGGAUACUUGUGGUGACAUUGGAGUAUCUAGGUGACAUUAAGGUUGAUUGAUGUGUGUCAUAUGGUGUUAUUUUACUACGAACUCUAGGGCUGUUUGUGACACUUAUAGGAAUAGCUCAAUGGAUUGAUCGGAAAUAAUAACUUUGAGGUGGCUUCGUACCCUACAAGCAAUUUCAUCUUAUGUUCUCCGUGAUAGGAACUUUGGAGUGACUUUUGUCGCACGUUGAGGGAUUGCCAUAUGAUUUAAUUAUGUUAUCAUUGUUGAGAGAACUUGCACUAGUGAAAGUAUGAACCCUAGGCCUUGUUUCCAAGCAUUGCAAUACCGUUUUCGCUCACUUUUGUUACUAGUUACCUUGCUGUUUUUAUAUUUUCAGAUUAUAAAACCUAUAUCUACUAUCCAUAUUAUGCUUGUAUCACCAUCUCUUCGCCGAACUAGUGCACCUAUACAAUAUACCAUUGUAUUGGGUGUGUUGGAGUCACAAGAGACUCUUUGUUAUUUGGUUGCAGGGUUGUUUGAGAGAGACCAUGUUCAUCCUACACCUCCCAUGGAUUGAUAAACCUUAGGUCAUCCACUUGAGGGAAAUUUGCUACCGUCCUACAGAACUCCGCGCUUGGAGGCCCAACACGAGUCUACAAGAAGAAGGUUGCGUAGUAGACAUCAAGCUCUUUUCUGGCGCCGUUGCCGGGGAGGUGAGUGCUUGAAGGUAUAUCUUUAGAUCUUGCAAUCGAAUCUUUUAGUUUAUUAUUUUUAUCACUAGUUUAGUCCAUAAAAGAAAGCUACAAAAAAAUGGAAUUGAGGUUGCCUCAUAUGCUUCAUCUUUUUAAUGUCUUUCGUGAAAAUGAUGGAAAGGAAAAUUGUGCUCAAGUGUUAGAAGAAGAAGUCUAUAAAAUGUUUGGCACUAAAUCUUUGUAUGAUGAGCAUGGUUGCAAUGUUGUUAGUAUGAAUUCUUUGAAUAUCCAUGAUGCUAAUGACACGCAAAGCCACAAGCUUGGGGAUUCUAUGUUUGAUGAAGAUGAUAUUUUUUGUCCCCCCAGUUUUGAUGAGCAAAUUUAUUAUGAUGAUAGCAUGCCUCCUAUUUAUGAUGAUUAUAUUGAUGAAAGUGGGUUUGGAAGAGUGUCAACUCUAGGUAAUGAUACCACUAUUUUGGAGGGUGUUGAAUCUUAUAAUAUUUAUGAAAGUGGAUUUGGAGAGGUCAUGACUUUAUUUAAUGAUGAUUCCACUAUUUCGGAAGAGGUUCCAAUUGAUUAUGAGAACAAAGUUGCUAUCUAUGAUGACUAUUGUGAUGACAUGUAUGCUAUAAAGAAUAGUGAUAACCAUGAAACUUGUCAUCAUGAUUUUAAUUUUCAAUUGGAUUAUGCCUCACAUGAUAGUUAUUUUGUUGAGUUUGCUCCCAGUACUAUUCAUGAGAAUAAAUUUUCUUAUGUGGAGAGUAAUAAAAUUUCUAUGCUUCUGCAUCAUGAAAAUAAUGCUUUAUGUGAUAGUUAUAUUGUUGAAUUCAUUCAUGAUGCUACUAAAAUUAUUAUGAGAGAGGGACAUAUGCUUUUACAUAUUGCAAUAAUAUUAAGUUUCCUCUCUAUGUGUUGAACGUUUUGAAGUUUUGCUUGUUUUACCUUACUAUGCUAGUUGAUUCUUGUUCCCACAAGUUGUUUGCUCACAAAAUCCCUAUGCAUAGGAAGUUGGUUAGACUUAAAUGUGCUAGUCAUAUGCUUCAUGAUGCUCCCAUUAUGUUUCAAUUCUUAUCUUUUAUGUGAGCAUCAUUGAAAUCAUCAUGCCUAGCUAGAAAGGCAUUAAAGAAAAGCGUUUGUUGGGAUACAACCCAACACCAUUACCUACUGUAUUUGUGUGUUCUGAUGAUUAAGCUACUAUGGUAAUCAUGUUUUGUAGCUUUUUGUUUCAAUAAAGUGCUAAGUAAGACCUUUGGGAUGAUCUGUGGUGAUAGUUGAUUUGAUCUUGCUGAAAAACAGAAACUUUUGCGUCCAGUUGCAGAAUUUUGAAAAUUCACUGGAGCGUGAUAAAAUUCUGAAUUUUUACACAAGAUUGGUAUACAAAUUUCCUCUGUUGUCCUAUUUUUUCAGAAUUUUUGGAGUUACAGAAGUAUGGAAAGUUUCCAGAUCACUACUGACUGUUUUGUUUUUGACAGAUUCUGUUUUCUAUGUGUUGUUUGCUUAUUUUGAUGAAUCUAUGAGUAGUAUCGGAGGGUAUGAACCAUGGAGAAGUUGGAAUAUAAUAGAUAUAACACCAAUAUACAUUUAGAAUGAGUUCACAACAGUACCUAAGUGGUGGUUUGCUUUAUCAUACUAACGGAGCUUACGAGUUUUCUGUUGAGUUUUGUGUUGUGAAGUUUUCAAGUUUUGGGUGAAGUUUUGAUGGACUACGGAAUACGGAGUGGCAAGUAACUAAGCUUGGGGAUGCUCAAGGCGCCCCAAGGUAAUAUUAAAGGAAUACCCAAGCAACUAAGCUUGGGGAUGCCCCGGAUGGCAUCCCCUCUUUUGUCUUCAAUCCAUUGAUAAAUUUACAUAAGGAUAUAUUUUUAUUCACCACAUGAUAUGUGUUUUGCUUGGAGCGUCAUUUUCCUUUAUUAGGAUUUGCUUGCUAUUAUUUAGAGUAAUGUUUAGUAUCUUUUAGUUCAAUAAAAAUGUCAAGUAUAGCCUUUACCAUGCUUAUUUUACAAGUCUAUACGUUGCUGUUUUGAAAACAUAAAGUUUUCUAUCAUUGUCUGAAUUCUUCUGGAUAGCCAGAAUAUGAUAAAAUCUUGAAAUUUUUACAAAAUAACAAAUUUUCUACAGUGUGGUAAUUUUUCAUAAAUUUUGGAGUUAGGGAAGUAUGACUCCUCUUGCAUUCUUUACAGACUAUUCUGUUUAGACAUAUUGCUGUUCUAUUUGCAUUUUUUGCAUAUGUUUGCUUGUUUAAUGAUUUUAUUUGAGGAUGGGAGUAUUAAAUAUGCAGAGGCAUUUAGCAUGCAAUAUCAAAUUAUAAUUUUAGUGAUUUUCCAUAGUAGAGAAUGAUAAGGUUUUGCAUGAAUUUAUACUAACCUAUCUCACGAGUUGUUGUGUGCAUGAAGUUUUAAGAUUUCGGGAAACUAUGAUAUGAGAGGAAUUAAGGAGACACAAGAGCUCAAGCUUGGGGAUGCCCAAGGCAUCCCUAGUUAAUAUUUCAAGAAGUCUCAAGCAUCUAAGCUUGGGGAUGCCUCGGUUGGCAUCCCACCUUUGUUCUUCAACAAUGGUCGGUCAGUUUUGGUUGAGCCUAAGUUUUUGCUUCUUCACAUGAUAUGUGUGAUAGGUCUCCAACGUAUCUAUAAAUUUUGAUUGUUCCAUGCUAUUAUAUUAUUUGUUUCGGAUGUUUAAUGGGCUUUAUUAUACACUUUUAUAUUAUUUUUGGGACUAACCUAUUAACCCAAGGCCCAGUGCAAAUUGCUGUUUUUUUGCCUAUUUCAGUGUUUCGCAGAAAAGGAAUAUCAAACGGAAUAAAACCUUCGGGAGCAUGAUUUUUGGAACAAACGUGAUCCAGGGGACUUGGAGUGGACAUCAAGAAAGAAGCGAGGAGACCACGAGGCAGGGAGGCGCGCCCCCACCCUCGUGGGCCCCUCGCAGCUCCACCGACCUACUUCUUCCUCCUAUAUAUACCCAUGUACCCCGAAAACAUCCAGGAGCACCACAAAACCCUAUUUCCACCGCCGCAACCUUAUGUACCCGUGAGAUCCCAUCUUGGGGCCUUUCUCGAAGCUCCGCCGGAGGGGGAAUCAAUCACGGAGGGCUUCUACAUCAACACCAUAGCCUCUCCGAUGAUGUGUGAGUAGUUUACCACAGACCUUCGAGUCCAUAGUUAUUAGCUAGAUGGCUUCUUCUCUCUCUUUGGAUCUCAAUACAACGUUCUCCUCGAUCUUCUUGGAGAUCUAUUCGAUGUAACUCUUUUUGUGGUGUGUUUGUCGAGAUCCGAUGAAUUGUGGGUUUAUGAUCAAGUUUAUCUAUGAACAAUAUUUGAUUCUUCUCUGAAAUCUUUUAUGUAUGAUUUGUUAUCUUUGCAAGUCUCUUCGAAUUAUCAGUUUGGUUUGGCCUACUAGAUUGAUCUUUCUUGCCAUGGGAGAAGUGCUUAGCUUUGGGUUCAAUCUUGCGGUGUCCUUUCCCAGUGACAGCAGGGGCAGCAAGGCACGUAUUGUAUUGUUGCCAUCGAGGAUAAAAAGAUGGGGUUUAUAUCAUAUUGCUUGAGUUUAUCCCUCUACAUCAUGUUAUCUUGCCUAAUGCAUUACUCUGUUCUUAUGAACUUAAUACUCUAGAUGCAUGCUGGAUAGCGGUUGAUGUGUGGAGUAAUAGUAGUAGAUGCAGAAUCGUUUCGGUCUACUUGUCGCGGACGUGAUGCCUAAUAUACAUGAUCAUGCCUAGAUAUUCUCAUAAUUAUGCACUUUUCUAUCAAUUGCUCGACAGUAAUUUGUUCACCCACCGUAAUACUUAUGCUAUCUUGAGAGAAGCCACUAGUGAAACCUAUGGCCCCCGGGUCUAUCUUCUAUCAUAUAAGUUUCCAAUCUAUUUUAUUUUGCAAUCUUUAUUUUCCAAUCUAUAUCAUAAAAAUACCAAAAAUAUUUAUCUUAUUAUCUCUAUCAGAUCUCACUCUCGUAAGUGACCGUGAAGGGAUUGACAACCCCUUUAUCGCGUUGGUUGCGAGGUUCUUAUUUGUUUGUGUAGGUACAAGGCGACUUGUGUGUAACCUCCUACUGGAUUGAUACCUUGGUUCUCAAAAACUGAGGGAAAUACUUACGCUACUUUGCUGCAUCAUCCUUUCCUCUUCAAGGGAAAAACCAACGCAAGCUCAAGAGGUAGCAAGAAGAAUUUCUGGCGCCGUUGCCGGGGAGGCUUACGCUAAGUCAAGUCAAGAUUUGAUCUCCCGUCAACUAGCCAAUCUCUGGCGCAGUUGCCAAGUCAAGUCAAGACAUACCAAGUACCCAUCACAAACUCUUAUCCCUCGCAUUACAUUAUUUGCCAUUUGCCUCUCGUUUUCCUCUCCCCCACUUCACCUUUGCCUUUUCUUCGCCCUUCUUCCGUUCGAUCUUGUGUUACCAUGUGCCUUCUUUUUGCUUGCAUCUUCGCUUUCUAAAAGUUUAUGGAUCCUUAUCCCCUUGCUAAUCUGUUUAAGAGAUCCAAUUAUGAUGAACCAAUUUCUAGUGAUUUGAGUGCACUAGAUUAUCUUUAUGAGGUUUUGCUUGAAAUUCGUGAAUCUGAAAAUUGUGAUGAAGAAAUUUAUGAAGAGAUUCACGAUAGCUCCUUGAAUAAAAAGCAUGAUUGCAAUGAUUUUACUAUAAAUUAUCUUGAUGUCAAUUGUGCUAAUAAUAUGCAAAACCCUAAGCUUGGGGAUGCUAGUUUUGCUAUGUCUACUACUUGUUGUAAUGAUCACGAUUGGGGUGAUUCUUCCUAUGAUCUUGAAAAUUUAUUUAAGCCCCAUGAUGAAUAUGAGAUUGAUAAUAGUGUUUGCAAUAAUAUUGAAAGUGGGUUUGGAAGAGUGUCAACUUUAGAUCCCACAUAUUUGGAGAAUGUUCAAUCUUAUGAAUUUUUUGAUAAAAGUGGGUUUGGUGAGGUCAUAACUUUAGUUAAUGUUAAUCCCACUAUUUUGGAAGAGUGUCAACUUCGCAUGCAUGUGGAUCGUGUUGAAAAUAUUUCAUGUGAUAGCUAUUUUGUUGAAUUUUCUUAUGAUCCCACAUGUAAUUAUUAUGAGAGAGGAAAAUAUGGUUGUAGAAGUUUUCAUGAUAAUAAAUUACCUCUCGUUAUGUUGAGAUUGCUAUUGUUUCUUUCCGCUUCCUUGCAUAUGCUAGUUUUUGCUUGUUUUGAUAAUUUUUUUGCCUAUAAGAUGCCUAUGCAUAGGAAGUAAUUUAGAAUUAGAUGUGUUUGUCAUGUGUUUCAUGAUGCUCUCUUUGCGCUUCAAUUCUUGUCUUUCAUGUGAGCAUCGUUAGAAUUAUCAAUGCCUAGCUAGAGGCGUUAAACGAUAGCGCUUGUUGGGAGGCAACCCAAUUUUAUUUUUGUUUCUGUUUAGUAAUAAAUAAAUCAUCAUGCUACUGCUAUUAUUGUGUUUUUUGUGUUUUAAUUAGUGUUUGUGCCAAGUAAAGCCUUUAGGAUCUUCUUGGAUGAUAGUUGUUUGAUCUUGCUGUAGAAAACAGAAACUUUGCGCUCACGAGAAUAAUUUUCAUAAAUCACAGAAAAGAGAUUUUACCCUGAUUCUUUUUGAAGUAGAUUAAUAUACAAAUUACCCAGGUCUUCCUAAUUUGGUUGAAAUUUUGGAGUUCCAGAAGUUUACGUUUGAUAUAGAUUACUACAGACUGUUCUGUUUUUGACAGAUUCUGUUUUUCGUGUGUUGUUUGCUUAUUUUGAUGAAUCUAUGGCUAGUAUCGGAUGGUAUGAACCACAGAGAAGUUGGAAUACAGUAGGUUUAACACCAAUAUAAAUAAAUAAUGAGUUCAUUACAGUACCUUGAAGUGGUGGUUUGUUUUCUUUCGCUAACGGAGCUCAUGAGAUUUUCUGUUGAGUUUUGUGUUGUGAAGUUUUCAAGUUUUGGGUAAAGAUUUGAUGGAUUACGGAAUAAGGAGUGGCAAGAGCCUAAGCUUGGGGAUGCCCAAGGCACCCCAAGGUAAAUUCAAGGACACCCGAAAGCCUAAGCUGCAUCAAAGUAGGUUGUUUAGAUGUGCAACUAGCUGAGCUACCUAUAUGAUGCAACAACAACAAGCACACAAGCAAGCAAGAGAGAUAACACAAAUAAGCUUGCACAAGUAAAGGCACGAGAUAACCAAGAGUGGAGCCGGUGAAGACGAGGAUGUGUUACCGAAGUUCCUUCCUUUUGAGGGGAAGUACGUCUCCGUUGGAGCGGUGUGGAGGCACAAUGCUCCCCAAGAUGCCACUAGGGCCACCGUAUUCUCCUCACGCCCUCACACAAUGCGAGAUGCCGUGUUUCCACUAUUGGUGCCCUUGGAGGCGGCGACCGGACCUUCACAAACAAGGUUGGGGCAAUCUCCACAACUUAAUUGGAGGCUCCCAACAACACCACGAAGCUUCACCACAAUGGAAUAUGGCUCCGCGGUGACCUCAACCGUCUAGGGUGCUCAAACACCCAAGAGUAACAAGAUCCGCAAGGGAUUAGUGGGGGGAAUCAAAUUUCUCUUGGUGGAAGUGUAGAUCGGGGCCUUCUCAACCAAUCCCUAGAAAAUCAACAAGUUUGAUUGGCUAGGGAGAGAGAUCGGGCAAAAAUGGAGCUUGGAGCAACAAUGGAGCUUGGGGAUGGAAGAGGUAGUCAACUCGGGGAAGAAGACACCCCUUAUAUAGUGAAGGGACAAAUCCAACCGUUAUCCACUUAACCAGCCCGCGACCUAGGGUACUACCGCACCAAACAAGCGGUACUACCGCAAGGGCUCACGGUACUACCGCGGCGAACCGCGGUACUACCGCUGCCAUGGCCACGACAGGAGCUAACCCAGGCCUGUAGCAAAGAAGCUGAGGGCGGUACUACCGCUGGCAAGGUACUACCGCUCCCCCUUGCGGUACUACCGCAAGGCAGGAUUGGACUAGCCUGGGAAGGGCGCGGACAAAUAAAAAUACAUUCGUGGCAACUUCCACUGAGUUUCAAACAAUGCAAAAAUCUGACACGGUACUACCGCGCAAGGAGCGGAUGUAAAAAAAUUACAUCCGCCCCUACUUCCGCUCAAGUUGCUGUGCCAGGCCAGGACUCAUGGUACUACCGCGCGCGUGGGGCAGUACUACCGCGUAGGGCGCGGAUGUAAAAAAUUACAUCCGCCCCUACAGCCGCACGAGCAGCUGAGCCUGGCCAGAGGCCACGGUACUACAUCUCCCAAGGAGCGGUACUACCGUGAGCACCUGCGGUACUACCGCUCAGAAGAGCAGUACUACCGCAUGCCCCAGAACAGCAACACUAUGAAUCCUUCUUUUUGCAUAUACACGAAACGGAGGAUGCUCCAAAGUGCUAAGGGAAAGGCGGCGCAAAAGGAGUAAACGUGUAUGUGAUGAUUCCAGCCAAACCUUUCCAAAGCGGACCCCUCUUAAUAGUACGGCUUUCCUACGACUGAAAUCCACAAAAAAGAAACAUGGAAAAACGCCGUCUUCAAUAGUCUUCGAGGGGCACGAAACCGUCUUGUGCCUAGUGAUGAAAUGUGUGAAAUACUCAAGGCACACGAUUAGUCCGCAAAAGCAUUGUCAUCAAACACCAAAACAACUAAGGGAUAAAUAUGCCCUUACAAUCUCCCCCUUUUUGGUGGAUUGAUGACAAUACGGGAUUUGCACAACAAGGAGAUAAAAUGAACAUGGGCAAACCCCACAUCUAUAAAAUAUCGACGGGCUCCCCCUAGAUGUGUGCUAUCUAGAUGAGUGCUUUGGACUGCAUGGCACACAUACUAGGAUCAACACUCCCCCUGUAUUUUAUAGACAAGGCAUAUCUUGCAACAACAAGGCUAACACUAAGCAAGAUUAGUAAAUAUGAGCAUAAUAGAAACAUCACAAGAUAGCAUAAGCUCAAAAAGGUGAGAUAGAGUGCAUAUGUUUUACACCAUAUGAUAGAUAAGUCUCACAAGCGCAAACCAAACCAAAGCAACCGAGGUUCGACGGAACAAAAGCAAAUGACACACAACGAAACAAACAC
This 86276-nucleotide long non-coding RNA is filed under the name Triticum aestivum (bread wheat). RNAcentral describes it as "long non-coding RNA (TAES_LNC019686)". The stretch from base 8545 to 8679 matches the Rfam family "MIR1120/MIR1122 microRNA precursor family". Lineage: Eukaryota; Viridiplantae; Streptophyta; Magnoliopsida; Poales; Poaceae. The record is from RNAcentral.